GGGUUUUUGCUUUCCCCAGCACCCAGCCUCUAUAAAUCAGAAGCCCGAGCCAACGCCGCCACCAUCCCCGUUCGUCCCCAACUCGCCAAAUCCGCAGCCGCCGCAAGCACAGAGACCCUCUAGAUCGAGCGCGAGCUCCACCCCCGCCGCCGCGAUGAGGGCCAAGGUUCGUCUCGAUUCUGUUCCUCCGCCUCCGUUGCGAUAUCGUUUGCUGUUUCGAUGAUGCCAUGACAUUGCGUAGUAGAAUUAGAGAACUAGUGCUGUCCUAGGGUUUGGUUCUAGAAGCUGUGCUAUGCGUGGUUUCUGCUGAUUUUGUCUUCGAUUCGAACGGUUAUGCUAUGCUGUUCUCUAUGAUGACGAAACACAGAUGACGAGUCUGACGAAAUCCAUUCCAUUAAACCAUGGGGACAAUCGAGGCAUUUGUCUGAGAGAACACUGAUCUGCUAGAAAAAGAUUUGUUUCGUCUAUGUCCUGUUUUAAAUUUCGGUUUAUUUGUUCGCAAUUGUUUCGGCAGUACUGGCAUAAUGAGGAAAAUCCUUAUUUUUCUGAUAUAGUUGAUGAUAAAUACCUCCUACUCAUUCUGAAUGCCAGAACACUGCCUGUUAUCCCUGUUUUGUUUUGUUUUCUUUUUGAAAGAGGUACCUUGUUUUGUUGGUAGAUUAGAUAAGGUUUGUUGGCUUUUGCCAUGUUCACUCUAAUCGGACAGAUUCAGAUCUUUUUUUAGGAAUCCUUAACAUUUUUCGCAAAAAAGAGUAAUCCUUCAUUGCUUGAUGUUGGGAUAUGAUGAAGAACCUUUGGUCCGUGUUUCUGAUCAACCCUUGAUGAGUAAACCACUCCUAAAGAAUCUGAUCCCAAACAAUUUAUAAAAAUAAUUGUGCUUUGUUCUGUAUAUUUAUCUAAUCCGAUAAAUUUGCCUGACACGAAGGAUACUGAUGCAUCUUGGCUUGUUCUGAUGUUCAGUGGAAGAAGAAGAGAAUGAGGAGGCUCAAAAGGAAGCGCCGAAAGAUGAGGCAGAGAUCCAAGUAGGCUUGCCUGGAGGAUGAAGGGAACUGUCUGUUGCAUUGUGACCUAGGCUUGUUAGGAUAAACACCCCGACGUGCUUUGGUGUAGAUGCAGGAGAUGUUUACCUUCUUGGGGUCUAGUUUUAUUUUUAGCUCAUCAAAACUCUGGUCAUGUUCUAAGGCUGGGUUUUAUGUAAUGUGAGGAUAAUAUGUUGCUUUGUGACUGAGUUUAUGCAGUUAAACGAGAUUUCUUGCACUAAAAAAUAUACUUACUGCCUAUCUGUUACCCUUGUGAUCGGUAGUUGUUUCCGUUAUCUGUGCUGUUUUCUCACGCGCUGUGGCAAUUUUCAGAAUCUCAGGAUGUUUUGCAUUGCUCCAUGGUGUAGAUGGAAUAGUUGCUUUGUUUUUGGUUGAGGCAUGACUGCAUCACUUGUUGAUUACAGAGCAGAGAGCGCUGGUGUUUAUGAGUUACAUUGGAUUUGUAUUGCUGUUGAGUUGUUAAUUACUGGAGUUUUAUAUCUCGUAUAGCUCUGGUGUUCUACUUUGCUUCGAUAAAUGAUGCCAUUUUAGCAGGCGAUUCUAAUUCUGCUGUCAGCUCCUGAUAUGUCAUGUUGAGAUCACUCCAUUGAGAUUAUGUGAAUCUUGAACUGUGUGCAAUUCGAAAUUGUAGAAAUAAUUGACUGCUUUGGGAUGGGAUUUGGGUUUGCAAUAUGUGGAGGAACAACAUAGACCUGUCUGGUUCAAACAGGCGUCAGUGAAAAAGCCUUCAGUGAACUCGUGGCGUCGACUCGUGAACUCUGAAACAGAUGAGGUGCAGGUGCACAAUAGAGACGGCUGGCCUCGCACCUGCACCAGCACCACUCCCUUAUCCGCUGGGCCUAGCAUGAAUUUGUUCGUAACCGUUUAUAUUCCUGCCAGCCUGAUCCCUGCACUAGAACUGAGAGCUUCUCAACUCAUCCGUUAAUGGAGGCCAUAGUCAGGGCAGGUGUAUCUUCCUCGGCGCCGGCGCAGCUACGCCCGUGCCCGAUGCCGUGCCGCAACCGCUGCCUACCGUCCUCCGUGCGCCGUCCCGGACGCCGGGGAGUUGCCUGCUCGGCCUCGGCGGCCGACGCCGACGUCGUCGAUCUCUUCGAUGCCGCCAAGCUCACGGUAUGGUAGUGAGAUACCUCACCGUUCGUUCGUGAGCAAGCCGUGUAUGUUCUCCAACGAAUUUUUGUUCUCUGUAGGUGGACAGGUUCGUGCAGAGCGGCAUGGUGGUCGGGCUAGGCUCCGGCCCGGCGUCCGCCCUGGCGGUCCAGUACCUCGGCACGCGCCUCCGCCGGGGAUCUCUCACCGAAAUCGUCGCAGUAACCUCGUAAGUUCUGAAUUUCUGAUUGCCAUUGCAUGAUCUGUUCCUUCUUCGUCACAGACUCAGAGUAACCUAGUAACUCUGAAUUUCUGUUUUCUGAUUGCCACUGCAUGAUCUGUUCCUUCCUUUGUGCAUGAAAGUGCUUCUUUUCUCAUCAGACACUCGAAUCAGUUUGCAUCUAAUCAGCUCUUGGGAUUGAUUGACCAGCCAGGUCCGUGCUCAGUGCGAGCGAGGCAGACAAGGCCGGAAUACGGGCUAGCAGCUAUCAGGAAGGAACCCAAGUGAGUAUGCGCAGUGCUGUACGCCUGUAACCAUCAGCUGUAAACCUCUUCUUACAACACGGGAAGAACAGCAUCUGAAACUGUGCUCUGCUCACUGACGUAUAGAUUGAUUUUGCUUUCACUGAUGCUGAAGUAAUCGAAGAGGGCACGCUGGCUGCCGUCAUCGGGCGGCGCAAGACCGAGAGUGGAGAGCCCUCUUUCAUGGUGGAGAAGGUAUUUGACUACUUAAUCAAUGUCUUCAGAGUUAGCGCGUGCAUGGAUUUCUGAUGGAUAAUCAUUCGUAUGUAGGCAACAGUAAUAGAUGCAUUGCAUAUCUGAACCAUUUAUUUGAUUUCAACCAUGUUGUCCCAUGUGUUAUACAGGCAAUGGUUAAAUCAGCUGAUAAACUUGCCUUCAUCACUGGAAAUGACAAAUACCUGACAGGUGUUGAGGGUUCCAUUCCAGUCAUAGUUAAAAGUGUAAGGAAAAAAAAAUCCUGUUGCUUCAGAUAUGGUCAGUUUUAUACAAUGUUUAUGAAGAGAGGAACAGAUGAUUUCAGGGAAAUUGGAUAGACACUGCUGAAGAGAUCGACGAUUUGUUCCUAGGGGAUGCAGAGGUGCCCUCAUCCAUACGAAUACUCAAUAGUUAAAUUUUCAGAACUCGAAUACCUGCUGGACUGCUGAAACUGAAACGCUCAUGAAUGUUUGGUCACCAUUGUAUGCGAUUUUCUGAUCAGGUUUGGAGGAGGCCAUCAUUUGGGACUGCCGGUCCACUAGGGGGUGAUCACCCAUUGGUCACUAAGGAGGGUCAUCACGUUCUUGAUGUGAUCUUUACGACUCCAAUCCCAGAUCUAGGUAAGCUGAUGGAAGAUCAUUGCAACAAAGGGGCUAAACUCAUCUUGAGUCCAUUAGACCAUUUCUUGGGCCAAAGCUUUAGCUGGUUGCUUUGCCAUAUUUAUUGCAGGUCAGGUAGCAGAGAAGUUGGACAAAGUUGCUGGCGUUGUGGAUCAUGGGAUUAUUUGUAGCAACCAGUAAUUUUCUUAACGCAAGCAUACAGAAUAAUAUUUUUAAUUAAUUUUGUGGGGAUGGUUUACGGAGGUGUGUUUCAGGUUUUCUUUUUCCCCCAAAAAGGUGCUUCUCAGUGUUCUUACACGCUGCAUCUCCUGCCCUGCAGAUCGUAUGCGGUGAUUGCAUCCAAGGGGGAAGUGCAGGUUAUUGAGGAGAAACCCUCGGUGAUACCGUAGCGCUGCAGAAAUCUUCCAGUUGCCUGCAGAGGCGCCAUUUUUCUCCACACAUUCCGGAUAAGAGUACUUCCAGGUUGGCUGGAAAAUGCCUGAGAGUUAAAUAAUAUAGUAGCACCAAAUGUAAUCUCUUCAGUAUCCAACACUCUAUGCACCAGUAUGCAAAACCUUCCACUUCGUGUGCAAUGAAGAUCAACAAAUCUGCAGUCACAGACUGUUAACAUGCCGAAAACACCAUUUUCCAUGGCAGGUUACUGAUAACUAUGCUCGUAGGUCCAAAAAAAUUAGUUGGGCAGCAAAGCAAGUAUGCUUGACAGAAUGUCGACUGACAAAUACUAGCGCUUUGCAAUUUUCAUCCAGGAUACAUAAAAUGGCAGUGUUGAACCGCAGGACUUCCUCUUCCUGGCUUCUUGUCCCACAUGUCAUAGAAACAUUUUCUUGCCAAAAAUUUUCACAAAUGUGGCUUCAAUAUUGCUAGCCAAAAUGAUUUUGGCAGCCACAAGUCGCCUAAUGUUAAGGUUAGGCACCAACCAAACAGAAAGCUCCACCUCCCAGCUCCAAUCCAAGCAGCCGUCAGAGACAUACAGUACUAAUAAAACUUUUUUAGGGAAUGCUAUUGUUUCGCCCAAAAAGCAGAAACUGCAAGCACAAGUGCACAACAUGUUCAGUUCCCCAACUAUGCCUGAACUCUAAAACACACACAGAGAGAUCAAUACAAUUUCUUGAUUCAUAUGGCUCGUUCUUUCUAAUCAUGUGACACGGCAAAGUUCUUGCCGUUAUCCCGAAUAAAAAGAUAUAAUCCAUACGGCUGACAGAUAUCUCUAAAUAAACACAACUAGCAAUCAUAUUUACGCUGCAACCUCAGCACACAAGGAACGUCUGUAAGCAACUUGAAAAGAUGUGUCAUUAUCUCCUUACUCCUGCUUUUUCUCCAACACCACCUUCCUGCUGUCGAAGAAAAACAGUUUAGAACAAUUUAGAAGACGUGCAAGUUCCGUCAAGUUUAGCUAGAGACAUUAGUAGGUUUCAUGAAUUCAGCAGACAUAUACAAAUGAAGGGCGUGGUUGUAUCACGGUACAACAACCUGAGUAGCUACAGGACAUUUGGCCUGUUCGUUUCAGCUUAUUCAGCCGGUUUAUCAGCCACCAAACAGUAUUUUCCUUUCACAACAAAUCAGUCGUUUCAGCUUUUCAGCCGGCUUAUAAGCUGAAGCGAACAGGUCCGCCUUCAGGCAGUCACAUGAAGAUGCCACUCCUUGGCGUCUCGUUGCCCGGAGGAAUCACCAUGGCGAAGAAAUUGGAAGGCAGCUCCGUGAAAGUGAAGCCAUCCGAGCGUCACUACAUAAAACGAUUUGUAGGGCACCCCAUAUUUUAUUUUUAUAAGGAUAGGCGAAAUUGCUAUCCGCAUCUACAAAACGGAUCGCUAUUGUAGCAUACGACCUACCCGUGGAGAACCAUUUGUAGGGAUGGGCCACGGGACGACCCGCCCCUGGGGGGCGAUUUCGAUUUUCAUGGGCGGGCGAUGGGGUGUCCCGUCCAUGGAAAUCACAAUUUGCAAGGGGCGAGUGACGGUAUCACCCGCUCCCGAAAAUUAUUUCCAGUAACGAGUGAUGACGUGGGCCGCUUCUAGAAAUGGUACAAUUUCUUGAUGCAUGAAUGCGCCAUGAACAUCCUUAGCAGAACACUUUGCAUGGUGCCUCAUUGCCUUCUUGAAUGUGAAUAUGGCAAGAAACAAGUUCACAAAAAUAUAAACCGUAGCUCAAAAAAUAAGUGUCAUAUAUAAACCAACAUAUAAAUCAUGUCACAACUCAACAUAACCACAACCAAAUGAUAGAUCCCACAGAACAGAUAAGACAUGUCACAUUACAUAUAAAGUUUGUAGAUCACAACUCAACAUAACCAAAUAACAAAUUCCACGCAACAGAAACAAAACCAAGAUUCAUUGACAAAUAACACUACUACACUAUCCAUUUCUUCACUUAGCAUUAGCUACUCCUAAGGCAAAUAUCCCAAGCAUAACACCUACAAUCAAGGUCACAACAGUAGUGAUGACAGCCACGUUGCAUGCACCCCCAACAGUCUUUUUUUUCUGGCCACAACAGCCUUGUUUUCUUUCCCAAAAGAUGCUUCAACUCUCCCACUUCCAACUUUAGUUUAUUAACAUUCCCUUUCAUUUCUCCACACUGGAUCUUCAAUUCACACAUCUCCAUCUUCAGAUCACAAAUUGCCAAUUUUAUUUGACUUAUCUCAUUCAACAUGCCAUUGCUUGCCAACGGCUCAGGAGGCUGAAAUCCAGCACUUGACUGAGCUGCUGCUGUUCCUGGAGCAAUACCUGCCAAUUGAUAGUUUGGAGGCAUCGAAUGGGGAAAUUUUUUCCUUCAAAUGGUUCAAGUACUGAGGCUCAAACCAGUAUUGGUCAUAUAUUCUAGAAUCUCCCUACUUCAACAACACAAAUGCAACUCAACCCUUUGGUUCCAACACGGUUGAUUCCAUGAUGUUAGGGUUGCAAUCUUACCUUAGUGUUGUUGGGGUACUUGUAGAAGAUGUAGCCCCCAUUGCUCCUGAGCCAAAUCACCCUUAUUCCGCAUUUAUGGCAGUCGACGAGGGGAAGUUGCACGAACUGGUUGCGACUUGGUACCAACGAUGGGAAGCUGCUCGACAUAACCUUCACUUGCUUGUUCUCGACGGAUGUCGAGGAGCUAGAGGACAGUGAGAAGUUCAACAACUUGCCUUGCCCCCCUUGGCCUCCUUUGCGGCAGCGGAAGCUGUGGCGGCGUGCGGCAGCGGUGGAAGCUAUGGCGGUGUGGCUGCGACGGCGAAGGUGAAAGCAUACCGGCGGCAUGCCCGCAUGGAAGGAGGUGUCGUGGGAGGAGAGCGCCACGGUGGCGGCCCGAGCGCGGAAGGAGGCGCUGCGAAUGGAAGGCGCCGUGGGAGGAGGGAAGGAGGCGCGACGCUGCGGCAUGGCGGUGGAGGCGUCGCGGGGAGGCGCUGCGGCGGCGGAGCACGCGGGGGAGGGGAGCGGCGCCGGAGCGGGGGCGGAAGGAGGGGCCGGGGAAAUUUUGACAGCCUAACGGCGUCCCGCGGGCUUCUCCAAAAAUUUGGCUUAGUAACCGUGGGCGCCACUAUAUAUAUAGGGUGGCAUUAGCAGCACCUGGAAAUCAUUUCUUCAUUUUUUUUCUAAAAUGUAUUUUGGAGCUAUUAAAUGAUCUUAAAUGCAAAAGUUAUCAACUGCAAAGUUUAAUGUCUCGUUGAGCUCCACAAUUUUGAUAUAAAGUUUUUAUUUAUCCAAGAAGAAAUGAAAAUUUCAAAAAAUACAUUCACUAAACACAUUCACAUGUACUCACACAUAUACUCAUACAUUCACAUAUACUUUGCGGUGAAUAUGUGUGUUUAGUGGAUGUAUUUUUUUAAUACAAAAUAUUUUUAAUUUCAUCUCGGAUGGAUACAAACUUUAUAUCAAAAUUAUAGAGAUCAAUGAGAUAUUAAACUUUGCAGUUGACAACUUUUGCAUUUAAGAUCAUUUAAUAGCUCCAAAAUACAUUUUAGAAGAAAAAUAAAAAUGGAGAAAAUAUUUCCAGCCAUCACCCGCACUUGGAAAUCGUUUCUAGGGGCGGGUGGUGACGUCACCCGCCCCUGCUAAAUGGUAGCCUAUAUAUGGUGGCGCUCGCGGGGACUUAGCCAAAUUUUUUCUUGAAAAAUGUAGACGUUUAACAUUUGAAAUUAGGGUUCAACAUUUCGUUCAACUUUUUUUCGAAAAAAUGUUGGUGAACAUUUUUUUAUCCAACAUUUUUCCAGUUGAAAUGUUGAAUAGACCAUCAUCAGUUGGAUCUUGGUGGCUUUGAAAUGGAUCAGUUGGAUCUGGUGGCUUUGAAAUGGAACGGAACUGCGAAGCUAAGCUUUAUAUCAUCAGCUGGACCUUGGUGACUUUGAAACGGAACGGAACUCCGAAGCUAAGCUUUAGCUCAAACGCUUAUCCAUCUUACAGCCGGUAGACUAGUAGUAACAGGGUUCUCUAAAAAAAAUAAAAGUAGUAACAGGGGGAAUGUGCUUGAUAGGUGAUAGCAGCAUAAGAUCAUCUAGAAGUUUUUUCUCCAACAGAAAAGAUAAAGAGGUGCUGCCAGAUCCUUCACCGCAGCAACCGGCGGAGGUAACAAAUGACGCAUCAGCUGAAUGACUCAUACAACAAAUAGCACAUCGACUGAAGACACAUACAACGAAUAUGAGGAUGAGAACAAGGAACCUUUGCCAGCCUCAGGAGCUCAGGAUCAGUGAAUCCCUGACCCCGAGCGCUGCUGCAACCUGAGCAAGUCCAAAUUGCAAAUUCAACAGAUCAAUUUGAUUAAAUGACCACCAAUCCACCAUAUAUCCUCCAGCAAGCUGGUCACUAGUACUGUAUCAGAAGAUGUUUACAACAACCGAACAUCCUGGGGUUUCCAGACAACACCCAUUUUCAAGUUGCAUCUCGCUAUCAGAAACUGGCCUAAUAUACUCUUUCCCCAACAUGCAUAGUGCUUUUUUUUAAUAAUUUCUUCAACGAAAGGAGGACUUAAGUACAGCAGGGGCGACAGAACAGCUAGUAAGGUAGAGUAGAACAGCCAUUGAUAGCCCCCCUGUUGAAUUUGAUGCUGAGGUUUUGUCUAAUUGAAGAAACAGCAUUGCCACCUAACUAGAGAUUUUUUUCCUCCAGCUAAAGUCAAAAGUCCAAAAUUCAUACUCUGACACCACCUCUAUUCUGAAUCGCUCUCCAGGCUUAGAGCCUUCAAGCCUCUAGCCCUCUGCAUGAUGUUUCACUCAUGUAAGUAACAAGCAUUCAACGGAACAGAGGUAGAAUACAUGCUUCUUGAAGCAAAACAAAUUUAAUUGUAUCCAGGUUACCUUUUUUGAACUCUUCUUCUCUCGAACUUCAUAUCUCUCAUGUGACAGAUCUGACAACCAAGCUCCUGGGCUCACCAUCUGUGAUUAUACCGCAAAAUGAAUCAGACAACAGUGUAAAAAAACAGAGAGCACUAUAACAGCAACAAAGAAAACAGAAGUUGAAAUCAAGUUUUUGAGCUUGAUCAUUACAAGCAAGCACUUCUGCAUCAGCUUGGGUCUUUUCUUUGGCCUCUGUGGGAGCUUGCAGCCCUUCAUUGCCAUGAAAUCCUCCUCCUUCUCCUUGUUAGACAAUGCAAUGAAGAACCUUGGCAACGCAGUGGUUCCCUUGUCCUCUGUUAAACCACCAAAAUCGAACCCAUUCCCCUCAAAAGGAAAUGGAGAACCCCUAGUGGAGUAAUACCGGUCCUUCUCUGGGGAGAGUGCCAUUGACUGCUUGUACUCGUUCGCUGGUGAAUCCGAUUUCCUGCUCACAUAGUAAGGUAUUUUGAGCACUGUACUAGGGCACCUGCUGGUAUUGCAGCGGGCAAUUCGAAUAAAGCCUGAAUACACUGAAUCUACCUGCGUUGAAGGGUGCUUGGGCGGCGUGGCGAACGAAAUGGUGCAAUGUCAGCUCCGAGAAGAGGCCGGGUUGCACGGGGCACAACACGUCUAAGAACUUCAGAUGGCGAGGGUGAUGGUGAGCCGUCAUCGCGCGUCUUGACACAGCGCAGCCGCUUCCGGCUUCCCCAUUGCAGGAAGAGGUUUGGCUCGCUGGGAGACCUCGAGGGCCUUGAGUCCUUCACCUCCUGAUCCAUCCGUACCCUGAAAGUGAACGCAGGUAGUUAGGUACCGAGUAGAAACUUAAGUCAAUGGAGCAACUUCGGAUCAAAGUUCCAGUGGAUUUUGGGAAGAGAGGAGGAUGGGCACUCAAAUCAAAGCAAAAUCUUGCCCCGAAAUUCAUCAAAAAAAAAAUCCUGCCCAACACACGAAGCAAGUGCCCCCUCUCCAUCCAAACACCUAGUGCCCUCUUAUCUUACCAUCACCAGCUAGAAUGAGAAAAGAAAUAGAACUCGAUCUUAUCUGAGCACAUCUGCUUUGCACAAGGACUCUAGAAGGGGGAACGGAGCAUGCACUAGAACUAGAAAGCGGAGAAAAAUACUUGUUUUAUUCCAAAACAAAUCUAAUCCUUCUCUUCAAAAGGUAUCCGCUAGCUGAUACAAGCAAAUCAGACGCCCCCAAGCAGGGGCAGACCCAAGGAUGGCAAUCUUUACACAAAAAAACGAAGUUUGCCGGUUGUAAUACAUUUGCAACUUCGAAUUGGGUCAGAUCCGAAUACCAAUAGCUUUGGGGCGCUCAGUUUCGCACAGCGGGAAGGGACGAGAUGGGGCGGACGUACCGGGUGGGUGCUCGUCGGCGGCGAAGAGCCCGGCGAAGACGGGGCAAAGGGCGGCGCCGCUCGCCCAGUCGGCGCCGCAAGGCCACGAGAGAGAGGACAGGAAGGGGCAGGCAGGCAGACUGAGAGAGAGAGCUGCACGGGAGGAAAACAAAAGAUUAGGGGUGAAGGCGCACGCGGCACGCCGCAGUCAGCGACGCGCUCGGGCCGUGUCGAAGUAGUUCUCGUUCGGCCCAAGAAGGUCCCGUUCGAAUAAAAAGAAGCCUGGCCAUAUUUGCCGUGUUGGUUGUUUGUAGCACUCGGCCCAACGUUGGAUUGGGGCCUGGUCCGUUCGAACAAAAGCCUGAUCUGACCUGUGUGCGUGGGGGGCAUCUUCCAGCGUGAUCAGAAAUCUAGGGAAUCCAACGAAGGAGAAAAAAAAAUCAACCUUCACAUAUCCUAUAAAAACCACCCGGAGAUCUAGAGAAUUUACAAAUCACAGGGCAACUCUACCAUAUAUCACCAAAAAAAAUCUGAAAUUUAACUUAUCACCUAGCACUGCUACCACAUCACCACGCACCUGUACAACAUCACUUAGAGAGACAUGUAAUUUAACAUAUCGCGCUACCAUAUCAACAAGCAAUGCAAAUAUAACACAUUCACGGCGCGCGACACCAAACAAUCAUGUUAGGCAAGGAUCAUAGCAAUGAAUUACUUGGGAGACAUCUCCCAAAAAAAACACUUGUGGCCUGUUCGCUUCAGCUUAUAAGCCGGCUGAAAAGCUGAAACGGCUGAUUUGUUGUGAGAGGAAAACACUGUUUGGUGGCUGAUAAGCCGGCUGAAUAAGCUGAAGUGAACAGGCCGUUAGUUUUUAAUGUUUCACAGGUGCAUUAAGACUAAAUCGCUAUUAUAGAUAGGCAAUGAUUAUAGAUUGUAGUAAUAUCAUGAACUGCAAAAGCAAAACAAGCCACAUGAGAUAUCUUUGCCAAUUUGAACAUUGUCAUUAAUAUGUCACUAACCUAAUAAGUGCACAUCCAGCAUGGUACCCUGAUUCCAAUUCAUCCUUCACAACAAAAAAGAAGAAGCUUAGAGCAAUGAUAGGCUGAUAUCUAUGUCACGUUAGCUAGAGAAUUUCAAAACUUGUAAAUCAACCUAGCUAGAGAAAUAUAGAAGUAAGAUUUCACGAAUUCAAAAAGUAACUGAACAAUUCAAUCAAAUCAAGUGGUGCAGUGGUAAAACUUAUAAUUAACAAUUUGGGCAGCCGCAAGACUUUACUUCGGGUCAAUGACUAUUGGGUGAAGAUGUCUCUCAAAUUUCUUUGGCCUGGCAGUGAUAGGCGUCCAAACCAAUAGACUCUCGAGAUAGGCAGCUCAACAUUUACAGAUGUAAUCCUCCAUAGGAUCCUCCUUCUCUUAGGCUUCUUAUCACUACCAUCCACCAUCAGGAUGGAAAACUUGGGCUCCAUCGCCGGCAACUGUUCUUUCUUAAGCUUCACAGCCUCCAGAGAUCUUUGGCUAGGAACUUCUUAUAAUUCCUCCACAUAUUGGUUGCAGGAUCAAAGUUCCACACAGAGAUGUUGACAUCGCCAAGUGGCUAGGAAUGAUCAAUGUACACAAACUUGAUAAAGCUGACAACAUAGGCCAUCAUCCUGGUCAUGGGAAAUGCGUCUGAUAGCUCAAACCUGGGUUUCGUCCACCUCUCGUCAGGCGACCUAUGAACCCAAAAUCCACUACUGCACCACCGUCAGCUAGGGCCAAUUGCAGUGCGCGAGUCGCUUGUGCUACCGCUGCAGCUGCCCAGCGCAACUGCUCAGCUGCAAACCCCAAACAGCUGCAACCUGAUCACUAAAGCUAAUGACUUGCACAACAAACAAAUACAGAACCAAUAGUUUGUAUAGUAAAAGAACAGUCUCACUGUUCUGGUUGUUGUAUAGCUGCAGCAAGCUGUUCCGAGCACUGCCGACAUCGGCGGCGAACAAAUCCUGAAACGACUGCUCUGGGAGGUUCCACCUUAGCACAUGCUAUCGACACUGUUCGUCCGUAGGUGCAGGCAGUGACCAACACAGACAACAUCCUCCGUGCGCCGCUCCAUUUGCUUUCAUGCCGCAAAGCACGUCAUAGUUGACUCGGAUGUACAAGGCUGAGAUGAAGUCCGGGGUGGAGUCAAUGAGGCAGGCCUAGAGGGUGAGCCCCUCCACCACCCUCUGGCCAUGCACUUUGCAGCUGGAGGACUUCUUGAUCGGGCAGUUGAUGUUCGUCCACUCCUGCUGUAGCCACACAGGUUGCACGGGAGGCCUUUUUCAUAUCACGAAGCGCUUCAACUCGAACGAGGACGACACAUAUUUUGUCAGCGCGAGCCAUAGAUGGGGGAAAUACCGGGCUGUGGCCGCAACCACGGUUUUCGCACACGCGGCGGUGGCUAUGGCUAGCGCACGAAGUUGUACGGUGUAAGAGGAUGAGGGACCCACAUGCUUCGUUGCAUGCGGGAUUCACGUGGAUCCAACAGGUGGAUGGUGGAUGUAGUGUCAAAAAACAUAUUGUGACACGCGAAUACAACUUUUUUCCCAUUUUUCCAUUUAUACUCAAGUAAAUAUCAUUUAUGCGUAUAGGUCAUGUGCAUUAGUUGUUUAACAACAUUUGCAAAAAUUAUGACAAACAUUAUACAUAUAAAUUGUAUAUAUCAUAAAGGUUGUGCUACAAAAUUUAUUGUAAGGAAAAAUACGCAUGUAAAUUGUUUGUAUAAGUUAUGACUUUUUAAAAAUGAAAAUUUGAAGUUGUCCUUUAGAAUUGCACUUGGAAGUGCUACGCAUAAGUUAUGCAUUCCAUUAAAGUUGUGCUGAAAAAUUAUCUCAUAAGAAUUUUUAAUACGAAGUUAUGUGUAUAAGUUAUGAUAUUUCAAAAAAUAAAAAGUUGUUGGAAUUUAUUUUCCGAAAACUAGAAAGUUCGAAGAAGUGUAGUGGGCUGUCGGGAAUCAAGCAGCCCUCCUGGUGAGCGCGCUCCAUUAGUGUUGGUGCUGUUAUAUAUCAGCGAACGUGAUAAAAAAAAACCCCAUAGCAUUGGUGCUGCUAUAUAUCACCGAAGGUGAUAAAAAACCCACUGUUGCCUUCAUUUUCACCCAGCAGCUUCCUCCGCCUCGGCACAAUGAGUGGCCCACUCGAGGUCAUUCUCCUCCUUCGGUCCUUCCUCCCGAUGAACACAAUACCACCGCCUUCUUCCCCCGCGCCGCCAUCCUCCUCCAUCUCCGGUGGUAGGAGAUACCGGAUCCGCUGCCCCAUCGCCCUCUCCUCCAGUUCACACUCCUCUCUUCUCAUUCGCCCCCCGCACCAACCUCCUGCACUGUCUCCGACGGCUCCUGCCGUCAGAUUCGUCGCCACCGGCCGCCAUCGCUCUAACCCGGCUCUGCCGGGGAGCUCACCGCUAUGGCCCUACCUCCUCCACCGCCCAUCGAUUGUCCUCCACCACCUGCGGCUGGCGGCACCCCGCCGCCUCGCCACCACCUCCGGCUACCUUCCACCCAAGACUUCCCCUCUACAACCGGAAGCUCACCGGCGACCCUAACACCAUAGCAACCUGAAACCGAACCCUAAGCUCCUAACCCUAGCCAUGGCCUCAGCGGCUACGGGAGGAAGACGACGGCAACAUUGCUCGGCCAUCGUGGGCCGUCGUCCGCGCCUUCAUGCGACAACUUGCAAAUUUGUCGCCUUCACCCAUUAGCAUUGCCCGUGAUCAGAACAGUUGGCCAGGAAACCAGGUAUAACCACGCGGCAGCAUAUAGCAUACAGAUACUCGAGGACCAUCCCAACCAAAACGCGUGGACGUUUCGUUAGUUCAAACAUUCCUCCGAUCGCUCUAGCCUUCAGCACUCCGCUGGCUUUGAAAAGUGAACCCAGAUCGCUGACUACGAAUUUUGACGAACCCUGGACGAGUCAUUUCUUGACGCAAAGGAAGAGGACACACGGUCAGGCAGAAAAUCCUCUAGAAGAAGUCGAGACUCGUACGGCGCGUGCCCCCGGCCGAUUCAAAAAGUUCAUCUCCGUAUGACGCAGCCGGUCCGGUCCAAACACCGAAAGCAACGAGGCCGUCAACGCUUUCCAUCACCGUCUGGGCUUCGUUCCGUCCGACCGACGCCACACCUCACGUACUCCCUCAAGUCAUCAUCUGCGUCCCAGUCUGUAUCACAUGCUCUGCUGCAGCUGAACAGCCCUGCAUACUUGGUGGAGGGGAAAGGUAGGCGACGGAACCAACGCAACCUCUGACCUCUCUUUUCGGCAAACCAUGGCGUCGUGGCUGUUGCUCCGGAGGAUCCAAUCUGCUGGCCGUCUAUCCGGCGGCCAUGGCCGGCUGCUCAGCUUCAGGGGCGGCGAGGGGCUCUGCCGUCCUCUUCCCCCGGCGGGCGAGCCAUCAGUCUGCAGCAGUGCCUACGGGCAAAUCAAGACAGACACCAGGAUCACGGUUUGUUCCUUUCCUCCCUUUCUCAAGUUCAAUUCCAGAAUCAUAGGACCUAGUUAAAUUUCGGUUUUUCAUACCUUCCAAGAAGAAAUGCGUUCAGAUAAUUUCAUCUGGACCAUUUCUGUGUCUUCUUCUUUGCGUGUAUGUAUCCAUCGUUUCUGCUGAAAAGUCUUCUGAUGCUUAUUUCAAAAAAAAAAAACGGUCUUCUGAUGCUUGCUGCUUGCGAUAUACGUGCAGAACCAUGAGCCACAUCUCGACAGGUUUUCAGAUCCCCAGGUUGCUCAUGAGGACCGUCAGUUCAUUCAGUUCUUGGACAGGAUGCUGGAUGCGAUGAGGAACCCUCAAAGUCUUGCGCUAAUACAGCGUGGGAGGCUGGCAAGUGGGCUGAAAGCAUUGGAUGAUGACAUAUGAGCCAAGUUCCCUCUGCAGACAUACAAGAGCCGAAUAAACGUGAAAAUUUGUGUUGUGUAAAAUGAUCCUGCUGUGUUUUCUGACUAACAUUGCACAAGUUUAGUGUGUUGAGACUGAUGCUGUUUAGGUUCAUUCCUAGUGGAUGAGAACAUCAACUUACUUGAAGCAAUUUCAUCUCUGAAGUGGGAACUGUUUUUCAAUAUCAAAUUGCCAAUAAUCUAUAAUAAAUUGUAGGCUUACCUUUGCUCAAAUGUUUUGGCCAACUCAACGGCCAGUAGAAGCGAAGAAUACAUCAUCUGCACUCAUACUUGUGCCUAAGCUUUCAUGUUGGCAACAUGCUAGCAACUAGCACUUCAAGCAUCCGACAACAAUUAUCACAGGCUCACAGGAAGACAUCUGAACAUGCCAAGCUUCUCUUUGAAAAUGUCGAUAUCAAAUAAUAACUUUCCACAUUUUUUUCCUUUGGUCUUUCGCAUCUUUUAAUGCUUGAGAUCAGGUAGAUAUCCCUAAUUCCUUACUGGCUGCAUUGCAUAUGAUGCUUCAGAUGACAACAAAGGGUUGGCAAAAGAAUUAUGCUAUACAAAAUAAAGUAUUAAGUUUAAUUUAAAACUCGUACCUGGAGAAACAAAAAAGAUAAAUUAUGUUAAGGGGUAAAUUGAACCAAAUUGCAUAGUUUAGGGGUAAACUGAACCAAGAAAUAGUUUAGGGGUUAUCCAGACUUUGUCUAUAGUUGAGGGAAAUAAUUUAAAUUUUUUUCCUAAGUUUAAUAAGAAAGAAAGACAUAUAAACUAGGAACUGCAGAACUUGCACAGGAAAGUGUCACCAUUGGCCACUCAUGAAUCGAAUGAGCUUGCACACUGGUAUCAAGGCACCAUAUCACAUAUCAGUGCAAAAGAAAUGUAGGGACAACACACGGACCUGUCAGCAUGCCAUGGAACAAUUUUAAUUUCCGUAUAAGUGUUUGAACAGAAGAAAGAAAAAAUAAAGAGAAAUGGAAAUUUUAUUUCCGAUGACUUCUAGGUAUAUCCUCGCCAUAAAUAGGGAUGAAAGCAGUCGGGAACAGUUGGUUUUGAUUUCGUAUUUUUAUUCAGGAACAGGAACGAAAUCGGGAAAUCUCGGUCGGGAAAACGAAAUCGGAUAUACAAGAUAUCGGAAAUGAAAUAAUUCAAUCGCAAACACAUCGAGCAAAAACUAGGUAUUUCACUCUGAUGAUCUUUUCAUCUAUGUUCUAACAGUUUGUACUGUUUAGGAGCAAGCAGAGAAAAUAGGAUUGGAGGAAUAAAAAUACAAGACGUGAGGUGCCUACAAGAUGGGUUGAUUUGGCUGACCAUGGUAAAGAAGCUGCACAGCAUAUUUGGCUGCUGACUAUGAAACCUGUCAUUUACGUUGCUAAUGUUAUGUCACAGAACAAGACAUUCAAAUGUUGCUGAACCUGAUAGCAAUCCUCGUGUCAAAGAGGUGGCUAAAGCAGCAUCUGCCGUCCUGUCUGAGACCCUACGCAUCCAACGCCGCCUUUUGCUCGAUGCAGCCACAGCCCAAGACUGCAAGUCCAACCGCAAGAACCCGCCGCCGAGUCGUCCUUUUCGUUCACCGACGGCGACAGCGCGACUGUGAUGGGCAAUUGCAAUUUGCACCCCACGGCGCGCCAGCGAGUCAGCGCCGGCCGCGUCAGGAGCGGAUUGACGCCGGCGACCCCUCCACGAAGCCGCGAACGAACCAUGCUCUCCCCAUUCGUGGACCGGUCUCCCUGCGCACUCGCCGAACGGCCCAUGGGCCAUGGCCUUGACAGACUAGGCGACAGGGAGGAGGGACUUGCGGUUGGGAGAACAUAUCCUGUGUUACCACCCAUUAGGGUGUUACCGUGUUACCAAGUCCAAAAUACAUGUCUACAGUGAUCGAAACAUUCCAAUAAAAAUAUGAAUAGAUAGCUCAUGUCAUAUUAUACCAUCAUGAAAAAUUUGAGAUGCAAAAGAAACUUAUACAAGAUGCAACAAAAAAGUGAAAUCGGCACAUGAAUAGUGCUACUUGCAACUAUUCAUCACAGACCCGCAACCCGCUACUGUUUAUGUGCCGAUUUCAUUUUUUGUUGCAUCUUGUACAAAUUUCCGUUUCAUCUCAAAUUUUGCAUGAUGGUAGAGCUAUCUAUUCAUAUUUUUGUUGGAAUUUUUCGAGUAUUGUAGACAUGUAUUUGGGAUUUGGUAACACGGUAACACCCUAAUGGGUGGUAACACAGGAUAUGUUCUCUCGCGGUUGGCACUUGGCAAUACCACUACUGUCCAAGGAUCACACACAGAUCACCACUCGAAUCAGGUCUCAUCUGCACAUCAUGGUCUGCUAGUGCCAUCCGGCCCGCUGACUGCUGGUUACUCCAACGUAAACUGAUUACUGCGGACAAAAUCAAACAAACCGAAACUCCCUCUGCACGUCAUGGUAAAAUGCUUCUACUUUGCUACAGCCUACAGCAUGGAGUCUACUAGCAAAAGGGUUCAAUCUGCCAGCAAUCUGACACACAGGCGUUGCCUUUCCAUGCUCUCUGUUUGCAUUCGCAGGACCAGGAGCCCACAUCUCCGCAGGUUUUCCGAGGGAGACAAACUCUACCACAAUAUACGAAACCAUACAAAAUGGAAAAUAGCAGAUAUACAAAAUGAAACCAUCAACUCAAAUGAAAGGGCAGAUAUAUAGACAUCAUCAGCGAAGCAUAAGAGGACUCAUCAACUUGCAAACUGAGCAUUCCCAAGUACCAUAGUUGCCACCAGCAUUCAUUAAUUUUAUCCAUAUUAAGUCGACUUGAAACUUGUUCAGCUGUGUAGACGACAUAACAUAAUAGCUAACAUUAGACUUGUUCAGAAUAUUACAUAGUAGACCAUCAUCCCCCAGAAGAUCCAGAGGUGUACUGGAUAUGGCUGCUAUCAUUCAGGGAGCGACCAAGAGUCAGUCGGUGUUGAGGGACAGCUUCAAUCUUCAGGUUGAGAUAACUACCAAUCGCCUCUCAAAGGGAAAGAGACAGAUCCACAGUCAUCUACAAUCAAAACAAUUGAUGAUUUGAGAAUUUCUGAGAUGGAACACACCAGACAUACAGAUUUAAACUAAUAGGCACCACGUAACAGUUUCAUACCACAAUAAGUUGGACGCGAUUAAACUAUAGUUUUAUAACACCCAAAUGACAGAGAAAUGGGCACUUGAAAAAACCAAUUAAGAUCGACCGGGUCUGUCCCAAUUUUUGCAUCAGUCCAAAUUAUAGAUGUGGUUCAACACUUUUUAACCCACAGAAAAUACAUAUCAUAUCUACAACCGUACCUAACAAAAAUUUUCCCCAUCACCCACCAUGGAUGGAACGUCUACCGGAACUACUUCUCUCAGGGUGGUUCUUCUUCGGCGGUUCCUGCCUUCCCUGCUUCCACCGCCACCCCCGACGACGACGACUUGGAUCUUCUCUCCCAGACACCAUCGCAUGUACUGGCGGCCCCCAACCUCUCAGCUGGGAGGGUGCACAUGGAGAACCUGGAUCUCAACUCCCAGGGUGAGGGUUUCCCCUUCCUCGACGAGUACUCAGGUUGCCUGCAGUGGGAAGGAGGUCGCGGCGACCAAGGGCUACCUCGUCUUGGACCGAGCGGAGAUGGCGGCAGAUCCGGCACAUUCUAGCCUCCUCAAUAGCUUAAACCUGAAGUAAGGGAGGAUGUUCACAAAUAGGAAUUUGAACGUGCGAACGGAAUUGCAAAAGACACCGAUAGGUAAGACCAACUCUGACACAUCGGUGUUUUAUUAUGUCCAUAUCCUUUAUUUCUUAAAAUAUAUGUUUGUAUAUUUAUAUAGUUGACAAUUCAUCCUAUCACAUAUUUACCACAAUUUUCAAAUGGAUGGCUUAUUUUAUAGUACAUAGCCAGGUGGGAUAGUUCUCUAAACGUGCACAUCUAUACGGUGAGUAAAUAUACUUUGUUGUACGUUCCUUUGUGAUUUUACAAUAUACGAUAAAUCCCAUCACACAAGAGCUUUACUUGAAGUAAAAACUCACCUUAUGUAUAGGAUGCUAUUACGAUGCGGCGUAACUUCUUCAUCGAUCUUUUGGCGCACGAAGUGAAUGCCUAGAAGACAAGACUACCUGGCAUUGUAAAACAUUAUCUUUGGCGCAUCACAGGCAAAAAAUUAGGAUAGAUGGGGGUGGUCCUUGGAUGACCUGUCGUACCAUGCUUUGUUCAAUGCCAUAGCUACGAUUAUCUAUAUUCGUACUUGUUUCCACGUGAUUAUUUUCCUGCUGAAUCCAAUGUUGAAAGUUGUUCAAGUUGCUGUUGGAGCUUGCUAGAAACGAAUACAAUGUAAAGGUGAUUAACUAUCAUAUAUCGUUUAGGAAUUGGUCACAUGAUUGUUCUUUUGCAAGUUAAGAUAAAAAAACAUCCAAGCAUACUGUCCUUAUGUUAUUACUCAUUGCAAAGUCAUUUUUUGUUUCACAUUGGAGGCAUUUCAAAGUUAUUACUCAUUCCAAGGUUGUAUGACUUAAUUAAAAUAUAGUGUUGGAAUUAGCUGAAACCUUGCAGAAACAUAAUGCAUUUGUCCAGGAAAAAAAUGCAGUUUGUAGAAGCAAAUAUUUUACACGAUAAUGUUUGAUGCUUAUAGACGAAAUUUGUUUUGCCCGCAGCAACAUACGGGCACAAUCCUAGUUAAGAUAAAAAGGAAAAACAAAGCUUAAGUUAACGAGUUGUGCCUACAUAAACUCAGAAGGUACCCUUAGUUCAUUAUCUCGCAGCCUAGUAUAGACAACAAUGUGAAGUACGAGAAUUUAUAGUAAAAUUACUGAUAUAAGUUUGAGAAUCAUACAAUUUAAGUGUACAAAAGUAUUAUUGUAUCAAGAACGUAUAUUCAGAAUCACUUGAUGUAUGCAUAGUUCCAUCUUCUUCAUCCUACUCUUAACUAUUUAGGUGCCCAGGUGUUGCAACGGCUUCUAAUUUCCUACACCCCCACAUAAUUCAUUCUUCAUAUGAUGAGAAUGUGAAUUAAAAUAUGACAUUUAUUGGUACUAGGGUUACUCUUGAUAAUACAACCAAUUUUGCAAUGACAUGAGGACCUAUGGUUAAACAAUACGCUGUAAUAGUUUUGGGAAAACAAUGGUCGAUUACCGUGGUUUGCACUUUACUAAAUCAACAACAGGUUACGUAUAGACUAAGUAGCACCUUUGUAUAUACAAAUUUGACCAGUGGCUGAAUAGUACCUGCUUCAGACAGAUAAGGGAAAAAACAACAAUACAGGUUUCAAAAUAAAAAUGGUUUCAUGUCAAACAAGAGAGAGGAAUUAAAUGGGUUAAAACGACAGAUUUAAUCAGAGAAAACAAGUCGCAAGAUUGUCCUUAACAACAAUUUUUCACACGUACAAUCCCAUCUACGCGAGCGGAGGAGACGAGCCCGCUGGGCUCUGCAGCGACGUGCGUACUGGUGCUGGUCCUCCCUCGUCGUCGCGCUGCCGUGUUCCGGUGCAGCCCCCGCCCUGCUUGCUUCUUUUCUCCUCGGUCGCCGGCGAAAAGAGGUUUGCCUCCGGUCGCCCUUGGCAGAACGCGCACUGCAUACUGCGUGGCAGGCGCCAGGCGGCCAGCCCCGACCAGCUGAUCUCUGCCUGCCUGGCCUUUGCGCAGCGCCCAUUCCCCCCUGCCCGGCUGCCCGCCCCUGGGCGGCCAAAUCUGGCCAUGUGGCCUUGCAGCGUGCGCUGUUUCGCCAGGCUAGAGACGGAGGGAGAUCAUGCUCCGAACGUUCAUGGACACGUCUAUCUACCUAGGAUUGCUGCUACAGGUUUGGUUUGAAUUGGUAUACGUGAGCGAGUCUAGCUUAGGAAUAACAGCGUACAUUUUUUUUUUAAAAAAAGAAGAAAAUAGCAACGUGCAUAUACGGUGGAUAAUGCAUAGCCAGCAUAGGGUACCUUAUCUGCGAUCGAGCCGUUUGAAGUUUUAACUGCGUAUUAUACGGAAAUAUCAGCCACGUACGUGUAAUCAGCCGUUGUCGUGUCCUGGCUACGUACGCUGCUUCGGAAGAAGGCGUCCGCUGCGGUGAUCGCGUGAGCGGCAAGGCCACGUGGCCGGGCGGGCGGUUGGCAGGGAUCAGCUGGACAGGGCUGGCCGGUGACGACGCUGCAUGCAGCAGAGGGCGCGGCAGGAUAGCGCGUCGCGCCAAGGGCGCCCAGACGCGAAUCCUGUUUUUCCGGCGACCGAGGCGAAAAGCAACCGCCCCCUCCCCUCCCUCGCCCGGCGUCCGCUUGCCAUUCCCGUCUCGUCUCUCGUGAAUGCGCGCGGCGCGGCGCGGUUGGUGGCAAAAAGCAAGCAAGGUGGCCAGGCGGGGGGGUGCGGGGUGCGAGCCGUGCUGCGUCGGUGAUCCUGCGCCGGGACGGGCCGAGCGGCACACGGCACCGCGCGCAGGCGGCGAGACGGUGGUGGCAGGAGCCCGGCCGGCCUGCUGCCCCGCUGCAGGCGACGACGCGGACCACCACGUCGCAGGUAGCGCGCGCUCUCGUCUCGUUCGCUCGCACGGUCGCCCUCGCCCUCGCGCGUGCAUGUAGCCACACGUGGCACGCGGCGACACGUACCAGAUCGAGGCGCCGUAGCCAAGAUGGGAUGGGAAGGCUUCUUCUCGAGUCUUGGAUGCGGUGUCCUCUUCCUGGCUUUUGUCCUCUUCUCCCAAGUCACGGCCAAGAGGGGAGCGAGGGUUCUACUAUAUUUAUCUCCUUUUCCCCCUUUUGUUUUCAUGAAGGAAAUUACUGCAAACUUAGGCUGUCUGAAGCCCUGAACUCCUAUUUUUUUUCUUUGUAAACCAUAGCUUAUCAUUUUGGUGCAUGUUUUGCGAUGGGUGGUCUCAAAAAUUCGAAAAAUAAAUUUGAACACCAAACGAUCGAUGUCCUUGCCACGUACACGUAGUUUGAUGAGGCUUUUCCUCCUUUUUGAAGGUGCCAGUUCCAUUGGAUCUGAAAAGCACACCUUUUACAUUGGUAAAAGAUAAAAAUUUACAAAACAGUUGCUUGUGGUAUGCUUUUGGUUAAACACAUGCGGGUUAAUUCAGACGUUGGAGUUAUGUGUUGAAGCGGUUUUGCAGGAGAGGGUCUUUUAUGCUGUGCUUGUUAGGAAGGAGUAGCACUGGUUUUGAGCUUCGUUUGUAAAAUGGUAACCCUAGUCAUGGUGUAAUACUCUUACAUUAUGGUUUCUAUGAAGCUAUAGACUGCAAAGUCUGUUACCCAAAAAGAUAAAAAUUAAAAUUACACGACUUGUUCACUCGAUAUACCAUAAAGGUGCAUGUGCAUGCACUCAACAUUAAAGAAAAAGAUCAAAACCCAUCAGAUAAACAUCUCCUGUUACUUCCUACACGGAGACAAAAAGGAAAAAAAAAAUCUGGAACGGCACAUCAUCGAUCUCUGCCUCUCUUGCAUGUUUUGGGGUUGUUCAGCUUUGCUGCCAUUUUUUUUUUGAAAAAAAAGCUUUGCUGCCAACUGGUCCACGCAGGCCAAAAGGUCCAGCACUGGCGUGGAAGAGCCGGCGAGCAUGAACGGGACCGUAGCCGCUCUUUCUUUUUUGAAAAUGCACCACGAAUCCUUGAACUAGAAAUGUCAUCCAAGUCCCUGAACUUUGAAAAUGCACAUUGAAUUUCCUAACUUGCUAAUUGGUUCACAUGAGGUCCAAAUCUUCGUAACCCGCGUUAAUCCACCUACGUGGCAUGCUGCAUGUCAGUUUUCUCUUCCUCACCUCUUCCCCCACCUCUCUGUCUUUCUCUCUCUGCAACGCUUGUUUGGCUGCCCGCGCCGCCCCCUCUUCUCCCCGAGCCGACCCCUGCCGCCUGCCGUAGCACCCCUGCACCUCGCGCCGCUCGCCGCUGGCACGGGUGCCCCGCGGCAAGGUCAAUCGGUCGCUCCCGACGGCGUGUAGGAGAACGAGGCCACAUGCGAUGCACGCGGCAGCGCGGAGGGCCCUGGGCGUCGUCCCAGUGGCCCGGGCGUGGACCACUGGUUGCCGGCCCAUGGAGGCGCUCAGCCUCGGAGGCGAGUAGCUCAACAACAUGCUGGGGAGGGACACUGGCGGCAGCGGGUGGCCCGCGGCGAAGCGGCGCGAUAGCAUGGCUGGGUUGGGCGGUGGCCGAUGGCCCGCGGCGGAGCGGUGCGAUAGCAUGGCUGGGUUGGGCGGUGACCGGUGGCCCGCGGCGUGACGGCAUGGCUGGGGGAGGGCGCUGGACGGCGGCGGCCCGCGGCGGAGCGCGCGCGAUGGCAUAGCUAGGGAGCGACGUGAUUUCAACGAGCAGGACCAUGAAUCGGAGUCGGCGCGAACGAGCUUGAUGCGACGGCAGCAAAUCGAAGUGGUCAGCGGUGGGAGAAAGACUUGGGUGAGCAUCGUGCGGCUGCCAUCCUUGCGAGCUCCACUAUUGGUGCCGGUGAGAAGGCAGAUUGCACGAGCUCGAGCGUCGCCAUCAAGGUUCUGAGGUGGAGCGCCGCCGCCGACGCCGAGGGCCUCGUGGUACCUCCGCGUCCCUCGUCGAUGCUGGGACCGGAGCAGCCUCACCCGCUGCAACCUUCCACCCCUCUGCUUUCUUACCUCCGCGCGCUAGCCCCCUCCCAUUAUCCUCCCCUUUUCUCCUCCACCUCCUCGGAAGGGCCCAUAGGGCAGCGGUGGCCGGCGGAACGGAGGCCGACGGCUGCGUACCGGAGAGGUAGAGCAGCGUGGCCAGCAGACGGCGGCAACUGGAGCCCGAGGUCGAGCGUUGUUGUCCACCGCUGCCGAGGGGCUCGAGUGCCUCCUGCCAGAGAUGCAGAUCUCGACGACGGAUAAGGAGAGAGGGGUGGGCCUGGCAUGUGGCCCAGAUGUCAAGUCCACGUCAAUGACACAGUGCCACGUGGGCAAUUUAACACAUGUUAUGUUGAUUUGGACCUGACGUGAACCAAUUAGCAAGUUCAGAAAUCUUAAUAUGCAUUGGCAAGAGAUCGUGCCAAUGUGCAUCAGAUGUAUAGUUUGGACGUGCCGGUGCCUUCCAUUGCUCUGCUCGGUUAGGGUGUUCUAGAAGUUGCUCAAACAUACACCUACACCUACAAAUUUGUUUUAAAACUCCAAAACAUCUAAAAUAUGAUUUUUGUGAUGAAUUUUGGCCCUUUUAAGAAACUGGCCUAUUUUCAUUUUAUUAUGCACCCAUUUCAACACCCAUGACUGAAGUACCCAAAUCAAUCCAAGAGAGUAAGAGAAGACCGAAGCAAGGGGAACGCAGGAGUGUGGGAGCUAUGCUGCACAGUGGCACAAGAAAAAGCCCCUCCGAGCAGCCGCAAUGUAUAACCGUGAGGGUGGUGCUAGGAAUCUGACACGUAAUGAAGUUGCCAAACUUCUCAUUCCUCUCUAGUGUAUAGUCACACAAUAUUAUAUAAAAAUUAGGUCCUGCAGAGAAUAAAAAAUUCAUCAAAUAACUUUCAUCUCUCCCCUUUCACUCACUUAGGAUAUCCGGAGUGUAGGAAUAGGGAUCCUAAGAAGCUUAGGACCGACCCUACACAUACCACAGCCGGUCCUAGGAGGGGAUCUUAAGGUCAAAAGGCAAAUACCCGGACUCAAGCCAAAGGCUCGGUCUCAAGGAAGAAAAAACUCAACGAAGGACGGUGUGGGGGCCACAGGGUGCGCAGGAGGGCGUGGCACAACUCCUGCAUGUGGACGGUUGCGCGGGUGGACGCAAUUUUUUUAUCCUGAAGCGGGACCCACUCCUAAAGACCGGUUCGGUCAUAUACAUAGCAGGCCCGAUCUCAUCCCACCGUGGGGCCUAACAUUAGGACCGGUUGGAUCCUGUACACAUCGAAUGUCCUUACCCCACCACCUCACUCAGAGCACCCUCCUUCCUAACGUGAAGCGUCGUGAGAAUCUUUUUUUUUCUCUCUCCUCGGAGCACCCCCAGAUCCCAACGCUGGAGCUGCUCUCGUGAACGUGCGCUCCAACUAAAACAUCCAUGAGCAGGAUAGGAUCGGAAGCGCAAGGUGUCCAUGUACUGCUGAAACGUUCCCCACAUAGCCAAGUACAAAACAGGGAACACAAGAAAAGAAGAAAACUGGAUCUUGAAAACAGUACAAAAGCAACAACCAAACGGGAGGAGGCCAACACACACAACAUGCUUGGACCUGGUGCGCGAAGAACGGACCGUGGGUGGCAGGUUUCGUUGAAGUUAACAUACCAGUCCCUCUUAUAGAAUAUAGAUUCAAAAUGCGCCAAACCAAUCCUUAAGUUUUAGUUACACUAGUUCUUUUGUCCUUAAUUCUUAGACCAUGCAGCACCUCUUUAGAGUUGUUUUUGAAGCCAGACCAAAUGGCCGACCGGGGCAGUGCAGGGUCAGGGUGGCAGAGGUCAGGGGCUUGCUGAUUCGUCUCUCUUGCUGGUAGCAGUAGAGGGCGAAGGCGGAGAAUAGGGGAGAGAAACCACCCCACUCGUGCAUCAUGAGUUCAUGACUCGUGGGCGUAGGCGGCCCACUUGUCACACGGCCAGAACUACUCCAUCACCGCCAAACAAGAGAUUUGUCUCGGGGAAUUUCUCAUACCAUGAGCUCUUCCUUAUCAUCGUGAUUCGUGAAGCUUUCCCUGUCCGGCUCGCUUCGCUGCUCAGACGACCGUGUAGGAUUUGUCACUCCACCGAAGAAGUCGGAACGGAGGUCUACCGAAAAGAGGCCGAAGUAUCAUCUCCUCCUGCAAAAACCCGUCUCACAGUUUUUUUAUAAAAAAACACCUCCUUUUUAUUAUUCGAUUCGAUGCCGGUAGAUCCCUUGCGACACUGCAUGGGCGCGCAGCCAGGAGCCAACACACUACACACCGCAUAACUCGCCGUCGCCGCCUGGUCGUUGCCGUGCUGUACGGGGCCCGCCGGAGACGGCGACGGGCCGGCUCGGCAUCGGCAGGCCGCGUGCCCACCCUUGCGCAGGCCAAGUACGUGACCCCACAGCGAUAUCCACCUGACAACUCCACGUACAUGUCGGGGCCCAGCUCGAUCCCCCGCGCCGGGGUUGGACGAGGUGACCGAGGACGAUCGCGCCGGGUGCGGUGCACGUCCUGACGACUUGCAGGCUGCAGCUGCUGUGGUCCGGGCCCGCGGAGAACACCGUGACUGCUCUGGUGGAAGCGGCACGCGAGGACGCACGUCCCGAUGAGCCGGGUCUGCCGCACUGCUGGGUGGCUGGCUCUGGCUGGCGCCGCUGGGCUGGGCGCAGUUCGGUCCACGGAGUACUUGGCCAGCAAAAUAGAGUAGGCGUUUUGUUAGUUCGAAACAUUCCUCUAAUCGCUCUAUCCUUCAGCUCUCCUCUGGCUGAGCCAAAACAAAGAUUCGUAACUUCGAAUUUGACAAACCGUGGACGAAUUCUUCUUCAUGCAAAGGAAAGGUGCACGGUCAGGGAGAAGUCUUCUAUACAAGUCACUCACAUGUACUACUCUAUUGUAGGCGCGUGCCGCAGCCGAUUCAAAUUCAACUCUUUAUCUUUCUAAAAAAAGGGGAAAAAAUUCAACUACGUAUGGCGCAGCUGCCCACAGUCCAAACUCCAGACCUCCAAAUACCGAAAAAGCGACGAGGUGGUCAACGCUUUUCCAUGACCAACGCCACACCUAGCGUAAACCCUCAAGUCAGCCAUCUCCGUCUCCGUCUGUAUAACAUGCUCUGCUGCAGCUGAACAGCCCUGCAUACUUGGGCGGAGGGGAAAGGUAGGCGACGGAACCAACGCAAUCUCUGACCUCUCUUUUCGGCAAACCAUGGCGUCGCGGCUGUUGCUCCAGAGGAUCCAGUCGGCUGGCAGUCUGUCCGGCGGCCAUGGCCGGCGGCAGCUGCUCAGCUUCAGCUGCGGCGAGGGGCUCUGCAGUCCUCUUCCACCGGCCGGUGAUCGAUCGGUCUGCAGCAGUGCCUACGGGCAAAUCAAGAUGGACACCAGGAUCACGGUUUGUUCCUUUUUCUCCCUUUCUCAAGUUCAAUUCCAGAAUCAUAGCACCUAGUUAAAUUUCGGUUUUGCAUACCUUCCAACAAGAAAUGCGUUCAGAUAAUUUCAUCUGGACCCAUUUCUGUGUUGAUACCUUUUCUGUCCCCUUCUUUGCGUGUAUGUAUCCAUCGUUUCUGCUGAAAAGUCUUCUGAGCUUGCUGCUUGCGAUAUACGUGCAGGACCACGAGCCACAUCUCGACAGGUUUUCAGAUCCCCAGGUUGCUCAGGAGGACCGUCAGUUCAUUCAGUUCUUGGACAGGAUGCUGGAUGCAAUAAAGAAUCCUCAAAGUCUUGCACGAAUUCAACGUGGGAAGCUUGCAAAUGGGCUGGAAGCUUUGGAUGAUGACAUAUGAAAGUUCCAUCUGCAGAAAUACAAGAGCUGAAUAAAUGUGAAAAGUUGUGUUGUAUAAAGUGACCCUGCUGUGUCUUGAGACUAACAAUGCACAACCUUAGUGUGUGAGACUGAUAUUGUUGGCAUAUACCUACUUGAAGUAAUUCCAUUUCUUUGAAGUGCUUUUGAAUAUCAAAUUGCAAAUAAUUUAAUACUGAACUACGGUUCGCUAAUAAAUUGCAGGCUUACCUUUCCUCAAAUGAUUUGGCCAAUUCAAUAGCCAGUAGAAGCUGAAUAGUACAGUAUCUGCCUUCAUACUUGUGCCCAAACUUUCAUAAUGCUUGCAAGUAGCAACUGAAGCAAAUGAUGGUGAUUAUCACAGCCUCUCAGGAAGACAUCUGAACAUGCGAAGCUUCUCCUUGAAAAUCUCAAUAUCAAACAAAAAACUUUCCUCAAAUUUUCCUUUGGUUUUCUGCAUCUUUUAAGGCUUGAGAAUGGCAUAUAUCCCUACAGGUUGCAGGACGUAUGUUGCUUCGGAUAACGAGAAAGGAUUGGCAAAAAAAUUGCACAAUAGAGAAUAAAGUACUGUAUAUUCACUGGAGAAGCAUACAAGCUAAACUGCAGAACUUGGCACAGAAAACUGUCACCGUUACUCAUGAAUCCAAUGAGCUUGUAAACUGGUAUCAAGGCACCAUAUCAGGGCAAAGGGAAUGUAGGGACAACGUGGACCUGUCAGCAUGCCAUGGAAUCAUUUUUAUUUCUGUAGAAGCAUUUGAACAGAAGAAAGAAAAAAGGAAUGCAAAUUUUAUUGCUGACAACUUCCAGUUAUAUCCUUGCCACAAAUGAGAAUGGCAAAGUUCAGACAAUUAUCACAUGUUAAUAUUGAGAAGUUUUAUUGCUGAUGACUUCCAGUUCUAUCAUGGAAAGUUAUUGGCAAAGUUCAGACAAUUAACUAGCAUGCAAAUUUUAAUGCAAAGUUUUGUUUAAAGUUAUUAGCAACCAAAAAGGAGGCCUGGAACACCUUUAUCAAGUCUGAGACUGAGCGUAUCCAUUAUCUAGCAUGCAAAGUUACAAAAAGGUUAACUUAUACUCACCACUUCUGAAAAUGUAAACUGCAGGCAGCUCUCUGUAUCACAAAGUGUCCUUCCUUGAUUUUCCAUAGAAGAGCAUAUCAGUGCCACAGGGACAAAUCAAAUUGUCAAAACCUACGAUGCUCAAAUUUUUUUUUGUCAAAACCUAAAAAAAAUAAUGACAUAAGAACAAAACAAGUUGCAUAGAGAAAACUGAGGUUAUAAAUGGACAUAUCUUGCCAGUAUGAUAGAACCUGCAAUUCCAGAUAACACAACAGCACAACAAAGUAGAUUAAUGCCUUUAAAAUGGCAUAGCUCUAGUUCAAUGACAGAAAAUGGUACUAAAAAAUAGCAUCGAGGGACUAUAUCUACCAGAAUGACAUCCCUAUAGCUAGUUUUAUACCACUCGACGGGAAAAACGUAAGAAGCUGCAGUUUUAUCAAUUUUCUAUAAUAAUUACUAAAUGUGAAACAUAAGAUGUUGCCAUUUUGUUCACAUGCUAGAAUAAUUACAUAACUUUGAUGGCUCAAUGGUAUCCAUUAUUCCAGUGUCUGAUUAAAUUGAAGUUUGUGCGUGGAUAUGCAGAAAGGCAGGAAUAGGAUUUCACAGCUGGCAAAACAGUAGCACUGCAGUCAAGACAAGUAUUUUCAUUACGUUAAACAAAGAAUGAAGGUGCAUAACAAAUCCAAAAAAAAAAUUCUGGAACUAUCAAAGCUGACCUGUGUGCUGUUAUUUGGGUGCAUGGGGUGACAUAGCUCUGGUCUCGGAACAUAGCCUUCCUCUCUUAGUUCUUGAAGAAGGCUCUUCAAGGACAUGUAGAUAUCUUCAGAAUCAGGGUGGCUUUUAUCUGCUGCAACAAAUAAAUGGCUGCUGUUAUUAACAUCUACCCAGCUGUAUCCAGGUAUCUUCUGGACUUUAUUAUCCUUCAUCAGUCUUCUAACUUUUGAUACACCAUCCCAUCGUCCAGCAACUGCAUUGAUAUUGGACAUGAGGACAUAGUAACCAGAAUUACCAGGAUCCAACUUGAAUAGUUCUUGGGAAGCUAUGUCGGCAAGCUCAACAUUGCGAUGCACGCGGCAAGCAUGGAGAAGGGCACCCCAAAUGCCAGCAUCUGGCUUAAAAGGCAUAUCAGCAAUAAAUUCUAUAGCUUGAUCUAACUUCCCAGAACGACUGUAUAGGUCAACCAUGCAAGCAAAAUGCUCCAUUCGUGGUGCAAUUUGAUAUUCCUUAGUCAUGCAUUGAAAAAGUCGAACUCCUUCUUCAACCUGCCCAGCGUGAGCACAGGCAGAUAUCAAAGUGAGGAAUGUUACAUGAUCCGGCUUGAACCCUUCCUCUUGCAUACGAUACAAUAAACUCACUGACUCUUUAAGAAGACCAUGAGCUCCAUAGGCAGCAAUUAUACUGUUCCAUGACACUUCAUUCUUAUCAGGCAUGGAUUCAAAAACACGAAGAGCCAGAUCCAAGUUCCCACAUUUGCCAUACAUGUCUAUCAGAGCACUCUCAGCGAAUAUGUCUGCCCUUAUAGGACCCUUUAUGAUAACACCAUGAAUCUCUUUUCCAUAAUAUAUAGCUGGUAAACUCGCGCAUGCUGAUAGGGCAGAAGAUAUAGUUACACUAUUGUACUUUAUUCCUUCCAUACUCAUUUGACGGAAAAGGUCAAGAGCUUCUUCUGGUUCUCCAUUCUGUGCACAGCUUGAAAUCAUUGAGUUCCAUGUCACCUCAUCCUUCACAGACAUCUUGGAAAAGAUAUAAUGGCUAAGGUCCAGUCUGCCACAUUUUGAAUACAUGUCCAUUAGUGCACUCUCAACAUAACAUUUUCCUUCAUAAGCAUUUCUUAGAACAUAACCAUGGAUCUCCUGACCAAGAGCCAUAGCAGCCAUGCUAGCACAUGCUGGUAAGACACUAGUUACAGUAACAGCAUUUGGUUUGAUGCACUGUUCUAACAAGUACCGGAACAUUUGCAGUGCCUCUUCAAUCAUCCCAUUAAGAACAUAACCUGAUAUCAUUGUACUGCCAAUAACCACAUCAAUAGCCCAAGCUGCAUCAUAUACAUUCUGUGCCAUCUUCACAUCCCUGCACUUGAAAUAGAUGUCUACCAAAGCACUCACCAAAAAGACAUCCAUGUGCACAUAGUUCCUGAUAAUAUAACCAUGUACCUCCUUCCCCUGCUUGAAACCAUUCAAGUCAGUCAAAGCCGGUAACAAACUGACCAGCGUAACUGAAUCUGGUCGAACACCACUCCUCUGCAUAUCACAGAACAAUCCCAAUGCCUCAUCAAGAAGCCCAUUUUGGACACAUCCUGAGAUCAUCCCGUUCCAGGUUACCAAGUCAUCCCGUGGAAUCAGGUCAAACAAUCUCCAGGCAUCAUCCAAGCACCGGCAUUUGGCAUACAUCGAUAGCAAUGUGUUAGCCACAGCCACCACCGGCUCUAAACCACAUUUCACUGCCAGAGAGUGAAGCUGCACCCCAGACAGCAAAUCAGCCUCUGCGGCACACAAAGACAGAAAGCAUGCCAGUGUCGCGAAAUUGGGCUCACAACCGGAUGCCCUCAUGUCCCGGAAUAAACGCACCGCCCCAUCCACAUCUCCAGCCUUUAUGCAUCCGUCCAUCAUCACGUUCCAAAGCACGCAGUCCCGCUCCGCCAUUCCGUCGAACACCUCGCGCGCGUCUCGGAGGAGGCCAGCGUCAGCGUACAUCUUGAUGAGCGCGCUCCCAACGUACACGUCGCGGCCGAGCCCGAUCCCCCGUGCCGUGCGGUGCACGAGGCGGCCGAGGACGACCGCGCCGAGCGCGGCGCAGGACUUGACGACGUAGGGGAGGGUGUGCUCGUCCGGGCGCGGCGCGGCGGGGUGACUCCACAUCUUGAGGUAGAACAGAACGGCAAGGCGGUGCUGGCCGUCCGCCGUGAACCCGCGGAUGAGCCAGUUCCAGGGCCGCGCGGACGCGGCGGCGCCGCGCGGGAGCGCGGAGAACACCGCGACGGCGUCGCGGAACCGGCGCGCAAGCACGUACAUGCCGAUGAGCCGGGUCUGGAGCGCCGGGUGGGAGGCGAGGGCGCCCGACGCGACGGCGCGCGCGUGGAUUUGGAGGCCUAAAGGGAGGUGGGACGCGGAGACGCAGCCGCGCAGGAGCGCCAGCAAGCGGUCCGCGGAGGGGGCGUUCGCGACGGCCGCCGCGGUGGAGAAGGUAGUGGAGGCGGAGCGGCAUGGCCGCGGCGGAGGCUUGAGGCGGCGGUGAGCGAGGCGCAUGGCGACGCCGACGGGGCGUCGAGGGCUCGAGGCCGUCGCCGUCGAGGAGGGGGAUGGCGAGGCGGCGAACUGACCCAGCGUGCUGCGGUUUGAUUCGAGCUCUCGUGGCUUCAGUUCCCGCACGUGCCCUUGGAACCCCCUCACGCGCCGCUCACGUGACAUCCAUUAUCCAUCUCGCAGCUCUCGUCUCUGGCAACCGUUCGCCCCGGUCGCCUUCCCGCGCCGCUCACGCACUCCUCCCGGCGCGCCCAUGACGACGGUGUCGCGCGCGCUCGGCUCCGCGUUCGCGGGCUUCACGCGGACCCCUGUCGCGGCGCCGGCCGCGACGACCCUGCACUCCCCGUGCGGCUCGUCGGCGCUGCUCCGACACUGGCAGUGGAGCCGGGCCAGCCGCGCCCGGCGGUUCUCGUCCGGCCGCGCGGCACGGAUUAGCAUGAGCCUCCGUGCAGGAAUUGUCGGGCUGCCCAACGUCGGCAAGUCCACCCUCUUCAACGCCAUUGUGAGUAACCAAGCCUGCUUGUUUCGCUGCUUCCUGAGGAGGAAUUCAUGUUGUAAAGAACAUUUAUUAGCCAGAGAUUGCUAGAGGGCAGAGAAUUGGAUAUCGGUUUUUCUUCUCUCGAUAUGUUCUUUCGGAUUCGUGCGCUGGCUUUGUAUAGGGUGGAAUGUACUAGCAUGCAUGUUGGGUGGACGUCGAUGAACGCCAACUGUUCGACGUUUUGCCACAUAGAUGUUGUUGUCGAAAGGUUGACACUGUAGGCAUGUUUAAUUUGUAAGAGUGAAUAUAUUUCACGAUUUCUCUGUUGUUUUGCUGCCGCAUAAGUUACAUUCCUGACUGCUUGCAUAAGAUGUUUCAGAUGGAGAAAUGUGUGACAUGGAUAGGAUAGGUCAUUCUCUGUAAUAAUGAAAUGCUAAUUCUGUUCUCAAUGUUGUUAGGUCGAAAAUGGGAAGGCGCAAGCCGCAAACUUUCCCUUUUGCACCAUCAGCCCAAAUGUUGGUGUGGUGGCUAUCCCUGAUCCUCGCUUGCAGGUGCUCUCAAAAUUAAGCAAGUCACAGCAGACGGUCCCAACAUCCAUAGAGCUUGUGGACAUUGCAGGUCUUGUCAAAGGAGCAAGCAAAGGAGAGGUACUAUUUUCGCCAUUCUCUUCAAUUUACCUGCAGGACAGCUCCAACUCCGCUGGCCAAAGUUUAUAUGGUUGCUGAAUGCUGGUUAGUUUAUACGUGAUGGUGUUAAUUUAUUGUUGACAUCAGGGACUAGGAAAUCAAUUUCUUUCAAACAUCCGUGAAGUAGAUUCCAUACUUCAGGUGAGUUCUUGUUGUACUUACAUUUGUUUGUCAAGUUCUAAUGUUUGUUAAUUAUUCUGUGCCACUCUGCUGGCGAUAUGUGAACUAAAAUUGCAGCCACUUCGUUAUCCAGCACUCCCGCUCACUUCUGAGGCAGAGGCUCACUAUUAUAUUUGUUUGUUUGUUGGAGAUUGCAAAACACUAGGAUAUUAAUUACCAAGGCUCUAGGAAUAACUAUUCAUUGUGACUGGAUCCUCAGGUUGUGCGAUGCUUUGAGGAUGAUGAUAUUGUUCAUGUCAAUGGCAAAGUUGAUCCCAGGUCAGACAUUGAUGUUAUUAACCUAGAGCUGAUAUUUUCAGAUCUUGAACAGGUAAUUUGGUGACACAAUCUCCAUUUCUAUUGCUAUCUAUGCCCCUGACCAACUGCUGACAGUUUUGUGAUAACUGCAGAUAGAGAAGAGGUUAGAUAAGCUCAAAAAGAGCAAAACUAAAGAUGCACAAGUAAAAGUGAAGGUAAUACAUACAUAUUAUUUUGUUGUUGAUGACCUUUUCAUCUAUGUACUAACAGUUUGCACUUUAGGAACAAGCAGAGAAAACAGGGCUGGAGAAAAUACAGGAGGCACUUAUGGAUGGAAAGCCUGCAAGAUCGGUUGAUUUGGCUGACCAUGAGAAAGAAGCUAUACAACAUCUUUGUCUGCUGACUAUGAAACCUGUCAUUUACGUUGCUAAUGUCACAGAAUCAGAUCUUGCUGAACCUGAUAGCAAUCCUCAUGUCAAAGAGGUGGCUAAAGCAGCAUCAGACCUGGAAUCUGGCAUCGUUACGAUAUCAGCUCAGGUUUGUUGUAUGCAUCUAAACUACAAGAAGCUUUUGAAGAAAUGCCUGUGAAAUUACUUUUUUUUUCCUCCCAAACGAUGUUGCCUAUCUGUAUAUACUCAAACUACGCUAAACAUAUCAUGGAAUGCAUAACAGGUUGAAGCUGAACUGGCUGAGCUACCUUUGGAAGAGAGAGUAGAAUAUCUAAAAUCUCUUGGUGUUGCUGAAAGCGGACUAGGCAAUUUGGUAAAAGCGACAUAUGACCUAUUGGGACUAAGAACUUAUUUCACAACCGGAGAUAAGGUGCAUCUUCUGUCCUGUUAAAGGUUCUUUUCCCCUGGCCGUCAACACAAAACUUUUAACUGUGUAUAUUUUUAUCAGGAAACGAAAGCUUGGACUAUUCUUUCAGGUUUCAUUCUUCUUCUUUAAAAUUCUUCAUUGUAACAAUUGCAAGGAUUGUAGGAAACUAGGAAUUAUUAUAACUGCAUGUAAUCUUACCUGUAGGCAUGACUGCGCCUCAAGCAGCUGGAGUUAUUCACAGUGACUUUCAGAAAGGAUUUAUUAGAGCUGAAACUGUAAGUGGUGUACAAAGUUUUAAAGAAUUUAAUGACCAAAUUUCAGUUUGCAUGUUAUGAUCUAUCACAGUUACAAUUGCUGAUACUUCAUCUAUUUGCUAACUUUACAAUGAUUACUUUCCGAACCUCAGGUAUCCUAUGAUGAUUUCGUUGCGGCGGGUUCACUCGGAGCAGCAAGGGAGAAAGGGCUGGUAAACAAAUUUGCGUUGCUACACCUUACAUUCUUGAGAUUUGAAGCGUGUAGUUGAAUAUACGUUUAUUUCUUGUUUAAUCUGUCAAAUGUGACUGCAGUUGAGGUUGGAAGGGAAGGAUUAUGUUGUGCAAGAAGGCGAUGUCAUGCUUUUCAGAUUCAACGUGUGACAGCAAUAGUAGCACAAAGCUUCAAAAUACCGGGACUAUGUACAAGGCAGAUUGCAGAAUACAAUUUUCCCAUACUAUGACAAAUUUUUUUGGCCUUAUGACACGACUAUUCAUGUACCGGCAUUGUUCCUUUUCUUAUGAGGGGGGAAAAUACCAUGAUUCACUGUUAAAGUAUCAUUCGCCACAUUUUGAGAAAUAUACCAUGCAAUGCAAGAGUUCUUCAGUGUAACUUCUCUAAGAAUCCCUAUUGUGUCCUUAAGGAUCACUCCAGACAUGAAACUUCUCGUUUUUCUUAAUAAAAGCAUGCGGAAUGUUGUAUGCUUGUGACAAAUCUCAUGUCAGUACUUUAUUCAAAUAAUGCUUGAAGUUCUGCGAGGAGUAUAUAUUGCAAGAUACUACUUCUAUUUCAAAUUGUAGGUCGUUUUGGUUUUUCUAGAUGCAUGAUUUUUUGCUAUGUAUCUAGAUAUAACGUUAAAGACAAAACGACCUGCAAUUUGAAACAUAUUUACUCUGUUGCAAUUUGAAACGGAGGGAGUAUUAAGUAGUGACAAUAUGGAUGGAUUCUAAAGAUGAGCUCUUAAUUGUCUUCGGUCGCUGGCUCGCUGCAAUGGCAUUUGGCCUCUAGAAACUUCUCUGUUUUUAGAAAACUUACUGGUUCAUUUAAGAAGAAAGAUGUUUAGGAGUACAAUAGGUACGAUAUCACAUAAAUAAAAGUUCUCUUAACUCUAACAUUAAUGAAUAAAAGUUCUCUUAACUCUAACAUUAAUGAAUAAAAGUUCUCUUAACUCUAACAUUAAUGAUAACAUGGAUACACUAACCCAAUUCAGGGUUCCCACAUGCUCUCUUGCGCCAACUGAUGUCCUCCUGAAUCAUGUCAAAGACUUGGUUAGGCCGCAUACUUCUUCCUUCGAAAACCCACCGGUUUCUCUCCUUCCAUAUAUUCCAAGCUGUGAAAAUGAGAUAAGCUACCACUGAAUCUCCCUUGCUUCUUGUUGAAUGGUGACAAGGAUCGCUUCCACAAGUCCUCAACAUCCACCAAGUCAUCUUCCGGUAUUUUGAUCAGACCUCCAGUCCAGUUGCUGAAACUACACUGCAAGCACAAGUGUAUUGCCGUCUCAGCCUCCUGAUCACAUAAUGCACAUCGGAUCUCACAUUGCCAAUUUCUAGCAAUCAUCUUGUCAGCGGUUAGGAUUUUGCUUUGAACUAGUAGCCACGUAAAAAACUUAUGCUUGCCCUCCGCAUGAGCCUGCCAAAUUACCUCCCCAUCAAAUGUGCCGUAAGUUCCAUUCAGCUGUCCCAUGUAUGCUGUUCUUAAAGUGUAAGAGCCAUCUGCAGUCCAUCUCCAUUUAAUCUGAUCCUCUGUUCAUUUAGAUGCACAUUCUAUAACAGAUCCCAUAAAGUGAAGAACUCCGCCAUUUGCUGUACUGUAUUCAUACGUCAAAGCCCUCUAGUUCAGUUGUGAUCAGUUAUGUCUUAUCUGACAAUUUUAUUCUUUAUCCAUGCAAGCUUGUACAAGCUUGGUGCUAUAUCUCUCGGUGCUCAACCAUCUAUCCAUGAACAUUGCUAGAACUUUAUUUGGUUUCCAUUGUCCAAAGUUACAUUUGUACUUGCCCUGAACAACUGUUUAUCAAUCUCAUCACAAGGGGUGUUUGUUCCAACCCACAGCAUGUUAGUGUCUGUCCAUUCAUACCAUAAUCAGCGCAAUCGAAGAGAUCUACUGAAUAUGUGCUGGUCAAAGAUGUCGAGUCCUCCUAGUUCCUUUGGCAAAGUUGCCUUUUGCCAUUUCACCAAACAGUGACCUCCACUGGCCUGCUCUAACCUUUCCACAUAAAGUUCAUCCUGAUCUUGUCAAUCUUUUUUAGGGCUCAUUUCUUUAGUGCAAAAACUGUGAUGAAGUAGAUUGGCAUCGAAGUUAACACUGAUCUGACCAGUGUGAGUCUUCCUGCUUUAUCCAACAAUUUUCCUUUCCAUGCAGGCAGCUUGGCUGCAACUCUAUCAAUUAAUGGCUGCACUUCCACUCUCUUCAAUUUUCUCAAACUAAGUGGCAAUCCCAGGUAUUGACAGGAAAGCUCUUUACUUGACAUGGAAAGCUCUGCAAUAUGUUAACUACAUCUAUGUUUUCACAUCAAAUCGAGUAAGCAGCACUUUUAUCCAAGUUUAUUUGUAGCCCUGACACUCAUCCAAAAGCAUCAAAAAUUUCUCUUAUGUUCUCAAUUUAUUCCUUCGCUAGAUUUACAAACACCGCAACAACAUCUACAUAUAGGCUUAUUCUGAUCUUAGCCGCUCUAUUUUGAAUAGGUGACAAUGUAGAUCAAAGCGAUCCCUUGCUCUCUCUCUAGAUCAAAGCGAUUCAGAGGAGGUGCCUGAAAGCGCCCACGGCCUCUAGCGCCACCACUACCUCUCGACGGUGAUCUAUCCCUACGUCCUCCAAGACGUUCUUGCACGGGGACACGUCUUCUAACUGAACCAUCAGGGACACCAUAAUGCCACACAAAUCUGUGUUUAACUGGCCAUUCCACCUCCAACUUAUCAUCAGGUUACCCGCUAAUGUUACUCUCACAGCUCUUGUAAGAUGGACUACUAGGCAAAGGUGAAUAGUCAAGCACUCGAUCUAAAUGAAUGGUAAUAGCAUAAUCAAGCAUCUCAACUGGCCCAUUUCUAAUGCAAGGCAUUUCAAGGUUACCCAAAUGCAUGUAGAACUCCUCUGGGGCAGUGAAAGGCUCUUCAAUUUGCAUAGUUGUUGUCUUUGCUAACCCAUUAGGAUUUGCAGUCCACACCCACAAAGCAAUCUUUUUCUUGUUUAGUUUGAUUCUCAUUGUCAAUCUCGUCUAUGAAGGAUGGGGCACUAAACAGCUGGGCUACCGACUCAAUUUGUUGUGCAUGCUUUGGCACUCCCUCAAUGCAAACCUAGCCCGGUACAGGACCUUGGAUGUUGAUGCACUAACCUGUCGAGUCCAAGGCAUGAGUCGUAGUGUUGUCUGCCCGACGGCGAGGCCCCCCCAGCUCGAGCACCAUAUUCCGCUGCUCCGGGGUGGAGAAACACAACAUGAACAUUGAGGGAGCCAGCCGCUUCACCCCCAUCUCAUACUCCGGGAUGCGAAGCUGCUGUAGAGCAUCCCGGUGUACAAUGUCAGUGGAGAUCCGAGCUCUCACGUCAACGAGGACGCAAAUGAGCGCAAUCAGCAGCAACAUCCUCUCCUCGUUGCACACCGUGCUAGAGCGCGGCGCACAUACCGUGAUGUGAUCCGGCCUGUUGCUCGCCUCCCCCAGGAUGAGCUCGGGGAAGCCGUACUCCAUUGGAGCCUUCUUGGAGGCAACCCUCUUCUCAAGAGGCGCUUUUUGCAGCUGUGACGAGGGCAUGGACGAUGAAGGUGACUUGGUGGAAGCUGCAGCAGCUAGAGACUUGGUAGUGAGAGUUGCUGUAGUGGAUGCGGAGCGGCAGUGGUGAGCUUUGUGGCCAGAGUGCGAGCACAGGAUGCACCUAGGGGGAUCCCUGCACUUAGCGAUGCAGUGGUCAGGAUCCAAGCAAUUGAAACACCAUCGCCCCGCCUUGGCCCUGAGGAGUUCUAGCCACUGUCCUUCUUGAAUGACCCUUGGUCCAAGACGCUUAGGGACGGAAGGCACUCUUGCACCCAACCUGUCAUGAAUGCUUCUUUGCCUUGCUCCGAGCCUAGACCAGACAGUAGCUGUGGUCCGGUGCGGCGCCUGUCUCUUCAUCUCAGAAUGCCAUACCUACUCACCAUGAUGUGACUUGUCCUUGGGGGACCUUGGCUUGAAGGUUUUUGCUUCAAAAGCGUAUCCUUGUAGGAGACCUUGUGAGAUGUAGGCUUUACAAAGAUGUAGGGAAUCCUGCGUUGUGCGCCAUCAGCUUUCUGUCCUCCGUCCUUGUCCCGAGAAUCUUUCUCCUUCCUUUCUGCCACUUUCUGGUCUUGUGCUGUCUUCAAUGCUGUAUCAUUGAUGUGACGAGAGCACGGGCUCUCCUCGUCGGAGUCAAAGCAGUAAUGGAGGUCGAGAGCCUCAUUCAUAAGGUGUGCUAAGGUAAGGGAGUUCUGGUUGGUGGGCGUAGCGAAGGUCUAGUUGAGAUGAUUGGUCACCAACGACGAGGCGUGCUCAGUGGUGAUUGGGACUGGUUUGUGGUUAUGGUAGAACGUCGCCGGCGAGGAGCCAGGUGGGGGAGGGGGAGCUCAGCGGAACCCAUCCCGCCACAGCCGUCAAACUGCUCUGUGCAAAAUCAUCUAUCCUCAAGGCCUUUGAGUACUGCAGAUGCAGCUGCUGAAACAGCCACCGCAAUCUGUACCGAACACUACAAAUGCACAUCACAGAAGAAAAAGCCGGCGCUGCGUACGGCAGAGCGCGGAUGUACAUAUGCUAAAAGGCCCCUGCAAAAACUGGACAGCAGAUUUGGACCCUCUUUCCCUUCUCCAGCACGCGCGCAAGCAGCUCUCACUUGGCCGCCACCGCCGCCGGAGAGAUGGAUUCCCGCGGAUUCGAUUCAGCCGGCCGCGUCUUCUCCAACGCCACAGAGAUGUGGGUGGAAGAGCUCGGCUCCACCGCCACCGCCACGACCUCCGCCGCCGCGGAAGCUGAAGCUGCCCCGACCACCGCCGCCGCCGCAGGCAACGGUGACGCCGGGGAGGAAGCGAGCGGCGACGGGAAGCGCAAGGAGUGGUACUCCAAGGCUAUCGCCUACUGGCAAGUAAAGCACCCGACUCUUCCUCCUCCCAGAGAGGCCCUGAACCCUAAACCCCCAAUACAAGUGUGCGCUCAUCGCUGCAAAUUUAGCUUAGAAUUUUAUCGAAAUGGUUCCUAGGGCGUGGAGGCGUCGACGGAGGGGGUCCUGGGAGGUUACGGGUGCGUGAACGACGCGGACGUCAAGGGCAGCGACGCCUUCCUCCGCCCUCUCCUCGCCGAGCGGUUCGGCACCGCGAAGCGUCAUCUCGUUGCCCUUGGUGAGUUUAUUACUUACAGCAUGUAGGCUUUGACUAGUGUCGGUAAAGUUUGUUUCUGUGCGAGUUUUGUUGUAUUGAUUUUGAUUCCAAUCUGUGAAAGUUGCCGUGCAAUGUUCAGUUUAUAGAAUCCUUAUGUGCAGUCUGUAAUGUUCUAUGUCAUUUUUCAAACUGUGGCAGAUUGUGGCUCGGGUAUUGGACGCGUUACAAAGAAUUUUCUUCUUAGGCAUUUCAAUGAGGUAUGCAAUUUAUCUUCUCUCAGGUGGUUUGAGGUUAUGCUUUAAUCCUGAAGACUGGCACCUUGUAGCUGUAGGCAUACCAUACCAUGGCACCGGCAAGAAACAACAUACUUCCAUUCUUCUCCUGUAUACACAAUUGAAUUGUUAUUCUAUGUUUUAUCUGUAAUAUUUGCUCUGUGCCUUAUCUGUAUGUUUUGGCCCUUUCUGAAAAUCUGGAAUUUGCCCAUCCAGGUUGAUCUUGUCGAGCCAGUAUCUCAUUUUCUUGAAGCUGCACGGGAAAAUCUUACUGGAUGUAUGGACCAAGGAGAAGACUCACACAAGGCUGCCAACUUUUACUGUGUGCCACUUCAGGUUGGUACCUAUAGAUCAUUAUCACUGGUUAGAUAUCUUCGAAAAGUUAUUCUCUCCUUUGUGUAUAAUCUAGUUUACUUCUUGCUUCAGGACUUUACUCCCGAGGAAGGAAGAUAUGAUGUGAUAUGGAUUCAGUGGUGCAUAGGGCAACUUCCUGAUGAUGAUUUCAUUUCAUUUUUUAAUCGUGCCAAGGUGAAUUGACUAAGACUUGAUUAAUUUAUUUUCAAUCCUACACUAUUAAUUUAUUUUCAAUCCUACACUGAUUUUUUGUUGGAUUCUGUUGAAUAUUUGGUUGUAGUUAAGGGCAAGUCUUAACACUUGUAUUGACAAAUAAGUGCUGUACCAUAGUUUUAGGUUUACAUAAUUCUUUUCCAUGGAAAUAAUAGCUUGCAGAUGAACUUCUUGUGCACUAGUAGAAAUAUUUUCAUUGUGUAUUUUUCAGACAUUACCUGGACAAAUGUUGUAGUCAGGGGCGGACCUAGCUCAAAAAAUGAGUGGCGGCCUGUUAGUGUAUGAGCCUUUACAAUUUCAGUAAACAGGAUCUAUGUUCACUGAAAAUAUAAACAUGAGUGGCAGCCCGUGCCCUCACUCGGCUCCAUGUAGGUCCGCCCCUGGUUGUAGUGCUAGUUGGUUAUCAAACUUUGUUCUAAGAUAACCCCAGCCCACUUUUAUACACCAUACUGUUUGCAAUCAUACUUUUUUUUUACUUUAGGCCAAACUACAGUUCAAUUGAAUGAAGCCUUCAAACUGUUAUUGUUUAUGUGCAGAUUACCAUUGCUCUAGUGUCGAUGCGUUCUAAUUAAACAUACACUUGUAACAUUCUUUCCAGGUUGGGCUGAAACCUGAUGGAUUUUUUGUUCUGAAAGAGAACAUUGCAAGAAAUGGUGAGUUUGCUGUACCAAAUAGUACUCAUCUAGAAAUUGCUACAUAGCAUUGUCUCUAAUGUUAUACUUCUUUGAGAAGACCAUAUGCUUGAUGUUGCUCAGAGUACAAAUGUUUGGUUUUUCAGGAUUUGUGUUAGACAAGGUGGAUAACAGUGUCACUAGAUCCGAUCCAUACUUUAGGGAGCUAUUUAAAAAGUGUGGAUUAUAUAUCCUCAGUGUUCAGGUAAAUGGUCAAAAGUGCCAAUGUUAUUUUGUUACAUUCUUUAUCUUUCCAAUCAUUCAUCUGAUCCUGCAAAUAAAACAGGACCAGAAGGAGCUCCCAAAGGAACUAUUUGCUGUCAAAAUGUAUGCACUGGUGACCAGUCAACCAAAAAUGCAGAAUAGUGGAAAGAGAAGGCGACCUAAAAAUAAACCUCGUAUGAUCCGUUCUUGAAAAAUGCCCAUGUUAGGUGUGCUGAUGGGCCAACUCAUUUGUAUGGUCAUGUACUAUUAUUGGUUUGCGUCAAAGUUUCUAGGACAUCAGUUUUGCAGUCUCAGUUUUGUUUCAUAUACAUUUUUUUUUUGUAUAAGCUCAAAUUUUCCUUGAGAUCAAUAUGUCCUCAAUCUCAACUGAUGUUGUAUCACCUGGUUACUGUUGAAAUGCAUGAUCUCUGUUGAGUGCAUGUUCACAUUAUUCGGAGAGGAAUAUGAUGAAGUUUUGAAUCAAAUGACCGGCAUGUGCUUUAAUUUCCUUAUGAAGUAAUGUAACAAGAUAUCGUGGAACUGGGAUUAUCUCGUGAGAAGUAAACGCCCAUUGGCAGCAAGCUGUACCUCUAAAGUUUUAAUACAUUUCUUGUGCCAUCUGCAACUGCAAGGAUAUCAUCUCCUGAUUUACCAAUCCAAAUCCCAAAUUGCUGAAUUACAUACGACUUGCCUCUCAUUUCCCCAUGCCCUUUUGAUUAACAUAAUAGCUAUAUCUAAAGGUAGCAACAUCAGUAGUGUAGUAGUGGUUUUAAUUGCAAAUGCCGUAGCUAAUGAGGAUUUUAAUCUUAACGUUUUGGGACAGUGCUGAAGCACUUGUGAGUUAACAUGAUGUUCAAAUAACAUAAUCUUCUUAUCUUCGGCACAUGGAAAUGAAUAUUUAUUAUAUGUUGCCCUAACAGUUGGUUAAGCUGUUCAUACCUUUCUCACACGCACAAUUUGAUCAUUCUCCUGAAUCUGUAAACGCAGACCCAGAGCAUCCAUCAUAUAUACCCAUUCUUCCAACUAAUAAUGCUCGACAACUCAUGAUGGGGGACCAGAGGAAGGACGGGAAGAAAGAACAUCGCAUCUGCAAGUAUCUAAUGAUCUGAUUUUGAGAACUAAAUGGAAAUAAGUAACAGGCGAUUUUGGAGACCACUGGCAAUGCUUAGAAUGAUGAGCUAAUGAAAUCACUUCACAUCAGAAUAAGAUUAACAGACAUCAGUACACAGGAACUUCGAACUGAAUGGACAUGUGAAACCCAUCGCACCAAGACAUUACUAGAAUCGUACCGCUUGAAUAUAUUACAAAUGCCCUAGAAUUUCCCAUGCCAAGAAUUCUGUUAUGUGUGUCAGUUCUUCUUCCCAGUUGUCGCCGAUGGAGGCAAUGUACCAAAAAUAGUGUCCCAGAGCGUUGAGGUGAUGCCAAAGCCCUUGUCUUGGAUUCUGAAGUGGUGGUUGAGGUGAUACCGCUGCAGAACAGGCAAAAUUGCGAGGAAUCAGAACCUUGUGGAAAUUUGCAUGGAGCAGCUAGCUGAUUCAUGACUUAAGUGGUUAUGCCCUCACCUUGAGAUGUUUUGCUGGGUCCUUGGAUGGUUGUCCAUGGUGCAGAUAGUAGUGGGUGCAAUCAUACAUCACAUAUCCCAAUAGACCACCUCCAAACAAUGCAGGAGUGGUAGAUGGAGUUGCAAAGAAAGCAACCAGGUUCCAGAACUGAAAAAGAAAACAUUGGACAGUUCGACUAAAUCAGUCAUGUUACUUCUGAAUGGUCAAAAGUUUCAUGUUAAUAAAAUCCAAUUCUAUGUUUAAUUUUAGCUUCAGGGUCAUACUGGGAAACACAAAAUUGCUGUUGCAGUAGGAGGAAAUACAAGCCUGAGAGAGUCCAUAGGGUGCUUAUGGUGGCACCCAUGAAGAAGGUAAUGUGCGGUGUUUGACCUACAACAGUGCAUCAACAACAAUUUGAUUAGCAGAAGGAAGACAUAGUGCGAUGUUGGAUCCUUCAAGGAUGAAGCAUUGUUACCAGUAGGUUUUGGUCUCAAUGUGGAAUAGGAAACGGUGCAAAGUAUAUUCAAUCAAUGUCCAAAUAAAUAUUCCAAACAGAGCUAUCAGAACUACUUCCUGAAUGGUAUGACCCAUCAGAAUAGACUUCACGAAGAAGUAGCAAACAACAGGCAGCCAUAUGGUUGGCACAGCCCACCACUUUGUGCGUGUCAAGAACUGGAGAUUCAAAAAUUCUGUUAAUACAGUUCACUUUCCAAAACCCUCGGUAUACCAAUAUGAUGGAAUACGUUACCUCCAGGACAUCAUUUCCGAAAAAACGUGGACCCUCCUUGCUGACGAUAGGUUGGUGAACCCAUUCCUGGUAACGUUCCUCAAGAUGGCCAACCUUCAUUCACAAAAUCAAGAACAAAACCAGAAUAAGGUUACUUUAGCUAAAGCGACUAAACUUCUAGUCAGAAACUCAGAAUUUAAUAACUGCAGGAGAUUCUUUCAUAAUUUACAGCAGAACCAUGUCUACCACAACUAUUGCCAAGAAACAAAAAAACACAAUCCCACAUUAGAGAUGGUUGUCAAAAAUCCAAAGUAGUACUAAACAAGCUCAAAAACAAUGAAAAAUUUAUGUGCUUGCCAAUUUCAUGAGUUACUUUGCACCUCAGCACUUACGAGCGAAAUCGUACCUGGAAAACAAGAGGCUUGUUCAGAUCAACAGUGAACUCCUGGACAACCAUCUUCCCCAACCAGAGCUGCACCACAGAAUUCCACGUUACAUGCCAAACAGAACAGUCAAGAAAAAAUAAACAGCUUCGGAAAAAUACAGCACAUACAGCACAGAGGCACUCCUACGCGCAAGACAGGUGACGACUGAAACCAAUUAUGAAUGACAACGGAGAGAGCCGGUGCCAUACCAAACUACUAGUGAGUAUCAGGCCUAAACGCAAAUGCGGAUGCCAUGAUUGCCACCUUUUCCCCCAGCCCUUGACAAGGUUCCUCUUACUAAGCAAUCCUCAGCAUGUGGCUCCAGGCACAAAACAGGCAAUCUUUAUCUCCUUUACUUCUCACCCACACUGGAUGUUCACACGAAUUUGGCAACCAAUACUUCAGUGCUAUAAGAGUGUGCUACACGAUUUUUUUUCUCAGGCAAAUGUUUACGCGAAUCUGAACAGAAUGACAACACCGUCGCAGCAAAAUGCGGCCACAGAAAUCUCGGCCUAGAUCCAAAACUUCGUGUCAAAAAGCGCGCUGCCCUCGAGUCACCAUUGCUGAACCACGAAGAUCCCGAAAAAUCCACGCAAUGUCCUACAUCUAGGAAACUAUACACCAAGCGCCAUUGCGCGAAUAGAACCAAUGCGGCCGCGAGGUCUACGACACAGAACCCGGAACAGCACGAUGGGAUCGAGAUAUGGGUUCAGGGGGACCUCACCAGCAGCGGCAGCAAUGGCGGCCCCUUCACCGGAGCCGGAGCCGCCCUCCUCCCCGGGCGGCGAGAGAGAGGAGGGGCGAACGACGACGAAGAGGAGCAGCGGAGCGGAUGACGCGAGAGGGAGGGGCGCGAAUAAGAGAGGAAGGGCGGGGGCUAUCUGGAAAAAGAAUGAGUCGCGCCUCCCUCUAGUCCCCCUCUCCUCCAGUCUGCCGCCAGAGGGACCCACCACACCCCCGUGCUGAGCUGUGCGCGUUUUGCAAUUAGUGGGGUUCUGCAGGGGUGCGCCUAUAAUUGGUGAUCCGCCAAGGGCUCUCGCUCUCUCAAAUAGAGGGGGCGCUGAUGGGGGUGGGGUGGGGCCCGCCGCCAGCUUGGCUGUGGCCUGUGCCCUGCUGUGCUGCUCCUUGAAUUUGUGAUGGGGGACGGACGACAGUGCAUAGUGAGCUAUCAGCAACGGCAAACAAAACAAAGACAAGAACACGUCCAGUCUAACAAAGCAUUUUGGCAAGAGCUGGUGCAAGAUCACCAGAUGCUCGAAGGUUUUUUACGACCCUAAGCCGUUUACGAGCCAUGUUUGGAACUCGGAGGUUUUCGAGAGAAUUCGGUUGGAGUUUACGCUAAUUUGUGCAAAAACAAAAAAAAAA
Molecule: long non-coding RNA, 45241 nt
Filed under: Setaria viridis
Lineage: Eukaryota; Viridiplantae; Streptophyta; Magnoliopsida; Poales; Poaceae
Description: long non-coding RNA (SVIR_LNC010094)
Rfam family: Plant small nucleolar RNA SNOR75 (bases 346-433)
Source: RNAcentral